AAAUAGUCAAAAUUGGUCAAUGGGUGGGAGAGGUAGAAAACAAAAUCAGCACUUUAGGAAAUGAAGAAGGAGGCUACGGGUGGGGGAUAAGGAAAAGGAGAAAAAAGAGGAACAGGAGAAAGAGAAAAUGUGAAGGAGAACAUGUUUUCUUCCUUUCUCAUUUUUCAUCUUACACAAGCCAAAAAUACAAAACAAUCAAACCACUCUCCCACCCCCUUACUCUGCAAAAUCCGAAAUUGGGAGAAAGAAAUAGGAGGAAGAAGAAGAAGAAACUAAGAAAGGUAAUUAUUUAAACCUCGAUUAUUUUUGGAUUUAAGUUUUUAUGGAUUUUGUGUAAAGAGAUUAUAUUUAUGCUUGUUUUGGAAUGAUUUAAACUUGAAUAAACAAGAGAAAUCAUGAAAUCAAAAGAAAUUAACUUUGCCGGAAUAUCUCGGAAAAUAGUUUGUUUAACGCCAAUAUGUGAGUUGUUUUCAAAACAAAAACCAUGGUUGGACUCCUAAAAUAUAGUAGAUCUGAUCUAGGUAGAAAAACGCUGAAAAACUCACCGGAAAACUGUUUGGACCGCCAGAGAAGAUGACUAGAAAGUCGCCGCCGGCAAACUUUCUGACAUAACCUUUUUGAUCCAUUUUUGGCCGUAAUUUGGAAAUAUUUUGAAAUAAAAAGUUGUAGAGAAUUAAAUUUUAUGUGAAAUGGAUAUAAGAUUUAUAUUUUUCUGAUAAAAAGGCUAAUUAUUAUGAAUAUUUGAAGUUUCAUCAUAUUGGAAAUUAUAAAUAAAUUAGUGAAAAUAAUUUUUGGCCUGAAAUAAAUUUAAUGUAAUCUUAUAAUAUUAUUUAUGAAUUACUAUAAAUUUUUUAAGAAUUAUUGAAAAUCAAAAGUAUUUAUUAUAUUUUUAAGCCAUUUAAAGUUGGUUUAAAAUGGUGGAAAUUCAUUGAAAAUUCUAUUAAUGAUGAAAAAUUGUGAAACUUCUAUAAUAUUAUUUCAUAAUUUCUGGAAAGUUUUGGAGAAUUAUUAAAGGGAAAAAGUAAUUAUUGAAUUUUUAAGCUAUUUAAAGUUAGUUUAAAAAUUAGUGGAAAUUCAUAGAAAAUUCUAUGAAUGAUGGAAAAUUAUGAAACUUGGUUGAAAAUCCUAUAAUUUUUUUCAAAAUUUCUGGAAAUAUUUGGAAAAUUAUUUAAGGGCAUAAGUAAUUAUUGAAUUUUUAAGCUAUUUAAAGUUAGUUUAAAAAUUAGUUAAAAUUCAUAGAAAAUUCUAUGAAUAGUGAAAAAUUAUGAAAUUUGCUGGAAAAUCUUAUAAUAAUAAUAAUAAUAAGAAGAAGAAGAAGGAGUUAGCUUUUCUCAAUCUUUAGCUAGCUAAGAAAGAAAAUAAGAGCAUCAAAGGUAAGAAAUCCUAGAAACUCGUCUUCUUCAUUUUAUUUCUUUUAAAAGCUUUGUAGCAAUAUGACAUGACGUGCUUUGUUAGUGGAUGUUGUUGUUUGAUAAUGAUAAUUAAAGGAUCUUGGAGAGAUAAGGCCACUUGUGGUUUAGAUAUCUUAAAUCACUUGUUAACAUGUAUAAAAAUUGAAAACGAUACCAAAAAUCGUAAGCCUUAUAAGCGUAAAUGAGGGAAAAUAAUGUAGACGACUUCAAUAUUGGACUUGUAAAGGUUUUGUUUGUUUAUUGUUUGUGAAAUUCAACAAGAAGGAUUUUUAGAUAAAUAAGUUCUGGAGAAGUUUCAAGUGGAAUGGAGGAAAAAUACGCUAUAACGAAGUUAUGGCGAAAUUUUUUGUAAAAGGUGUCAAUCUUGAAAAAUCCUAGCUUGGUACCCUUUGUGGGCAAAGUGUAUGGGUGGUUAAUUUUUUCGAAAAGUUAUUUCUUUCCGGGAUAAUUUUAGUUGGGUGAAAACGUGAGCCAUGGUCUUAAGAAUGAGCUCAAUCCGACUUUGGAUGAGCGCGUUACGAAGUUUAGAAAAUUCGACGUUACAGCGUCAUUUCGGUGAAAAAGUGUCUCACGAGAGAGUUUUGAGCUAAUUUCCUGAAAAUUUAGAGAAUUGGGAAAAUUUUAUUUUCCGGGGGGGAUUUGAGAAUUUGUUACAAGGAAGAAAUAGAAGCAAGAACGAGCUCAUUCCGAUAUCGGACGAGUAAGUUAUGAUGUUUCAAAGUAGGCGCGUUGAAAUUGUCCGAAACCAAAAAAUUAUUAAAAUCAAAAAUUUUGGCCAAGAAAAUCCCUACCUCGCAGAGCCUAGAGCGCUAGUCUAGGCUUAUUUGAGCGCCUAGAGAGCGGGCCACUUUUAGGCCAAAAGUCAGUCUGAACAUACUUCACUAAAUCGGGCAUAACUUUUUCUUAUGAAAUCCGAUUGAAGUGAUUCAAGAUGAUCUAAAAAGAUAAGGAGUAGAUAUAAAAAUUUCAUUUUUUAAGUUUUGGUAUUUGAGGUCGGGAGCAGGGUCCAAAUUGGGCAUUUGUAGGGCUGUUAUGCAAUAGGAGGAAAACCAUGGUGGUUUCUUUGAACCAUUGUGGUGGCGAGCCAUGUUUGACUAGUAUUUUAGAGUUCUAAACAUUGGACAUUGGGAACAUAGUCUAGAAAAAGGUAAACCAAGGAAUAAUAGAUGUUUUGGACGUAUUAAUUGUACGCAAUGGCGUGUUGGUUAAGCGUUCAGGGUAUAAAAGUCGAGCAUACGACGUACGAACAUCGAAACGCCGAGUCGAAUAUUAAUGAACUUAAAAUAAUGCUCUGAGUUUAAUGAACUGAACAUUAUAAAACAUGGAAUAGGGUUAUAAUAAACCAUGAGUGACAUUUAUGCGUGACUAAUUGAUAUGUCUAUGUGCACUGAAUGUGUAGGACUUUCAAAGGGCGGUUAACGUCAAUGUAUAAAAGACGCUUGCGGUAAGUUUCCUAAACUUACUUAAAUUUUAUUGAGCAAGUAAUCUAACUCCAUUCAACUUUCAUUUAAAUGUCAAUUUUUGAGUAUACACUACAAAAAAAUGGGGCUUCAGCUACAACCGAUUUUCGUUGCUAAAGGUGCCAAAUUUCGUUGCUAAAGGGUUUUGACAACGACUUUACUGUCGUUGCGUCUUUCGUUGCGCAAUGAGCGUUGCUAAUUGUUCCGCAACGAACGUAUUUUUUUCGUUGCCAAAAGUAAUACAUUUUGCAACGAAAUUUGGCUUUCGUGGAGAGACAUCGAUCCUUUAGCAACAAAAUGUAUUGUUGCAGAAUAAUUAAUAUUUCAUUGCUAAAAACCCCAUUUCGUUGCAAAAGCCUUCUAAUUGGCAACGAAAUAAAUUCUUUUUUUUUUUGCAACGACCAUGCAUUUUCGUUGCAAUUGACACCAUUUUGCAACGACAUUUUUCGUUGCACUAAAUUAUGAAAAUUGUUGCCUAAGCUUGCUUUCGUUGCGGAAUGUAAACUUUUUAGCAACGAUUUUCGUUACUAAUUAGAUUAUUUGGCAACGACAUUAUCCUGAAUCAGCAACUAAAAUAUUUGUUGCUGGUUAUUUUUCAAUAGCAACGAAAGUCGUCGAUUAGCAACGAUAUUAUAUGUUGUCGUUUCUUUAUAUGUGCAACGAAAGUUAAUAUGAUUUGCAACGAUAAAAAAUGUUGCCUUUUAUGUUAGUAUUAGCAACAAUAUCCUCUUCGUUGUUAUUAGAUUAAUUUUUCGUUGUCAAAUAUUAUAUUUUUAAUGCCAUUAGCAACGAAAAUUUGUUGCUAAAUGUAUAAAAAAUUGUUGCUAUAUUAAAACUUGUUCAAUGCCUUGGUAACGAAUUAUAUUGUUGCCAAAUCAAAAAACUAAAGCUACCACAUAAUAUUAAAUAUUAUAAUGACAAAAAUACAAAAAACUAAAAUAUUAUUAACUUAAUAAAAUCAUCCACUACAUAAUCAUUCAUUAUCUUUACAAUUAACUAUCUAAAGCUACCACAGUUCUUCAAUCAAAGUAUAUAUCUACAUAUAUAGAAAGAGUACACUUCAUAAUUUAAUAAAACAUUCUUCAGUAGAACAAAUUUUUUUUAUCCAUGACAAAGCAUUAGCAUUGGCAUUGGGUUAACCAGCUUCCGCUGAGUAUCUAAGAAUCUGAAAUGUUGUUCUCUACCAGAAUGCUUCCCAGUAGUGAUUCACAAGCAUCUUCAAGUAAAUCUAAAACCUGCCAACCAAUAUAUUCGAUAGGAUCAAGCAUUAUCUAGAAAGUAAAAGGCUUCUCAGCAGUAGCUUCAUGCAUAUAGAGUAUUUUGAAAUUAAUUUGGACGAAGCUAAAAGUAGGAUACUAACAAAUAGUUUAUGUUAACUGAACCAAAUAAACAUGGGCACAUAAUCAGCUUGGACUCUGUCACUUAAAAAAACAAAGUUAGACGGGAAGACUAAUAUCAAUAACAUCAUUGCUCAUCUAGUAGAACUUCAAAGAAAGCCAGAGAACUAUAUUGGCCUUAAAAAUUUGCUAAAUUUAUGAUGUUCAAGAAUCACGAUUGAUGACAUUCAGGAAAGAACGUUAACAAAGGGGAAGAUUAACAUCAAUCGAAAAAAAUAACUUGAAAUGCAGCACAGAAAGGUAAAGCAUAGAGAAGUAAAUGAAGAAGCAAGAUUGCACGGCAGCAAGGAAAGUUGUAAUCUGACAUAAGAAGAAAUAAGAGACCAUCCCGACCGGACAUGACAAUCUGUGAACAGCUUUUCUGCAAGAGUAGGCUCAGAUGCAGCCUUGUUAGGUGCCUUCUCUGAUGGAGCUACAUGUAUAACACCUUCACCAGACUUUGAAAUGAUUGCUAUCUUGGUACCUGGUUCCACAGUGUCACCUUCUUUGGCUACAAACUGAAAAAAUUACAUGGGCAAAAAUUAAUUACACAGAAACAUAAUAGAUCUUCAAACAAACAAAAAAAGAUAACAUCAAAGAGAUUGUAAUUAACUGAUACUAUGGACCCUACUAAAAUUUAAUAAUUUACCUCUUGGAUGACACCCGUUUUGGGACUUGCAACAUCAAUUGUCACCUGAAUGAAGUAGCAGAAACUAUUUAGACCAGACAAUGAUACUUGCGAUGCUGCAGAAAUGCUAAGUUCAUAAUACUACCUUAUCAGUUUCAACUUGGGUGAUCGGCUCAUCAAUAUUAACAUGAUCACCUGGUUUUGCUCCCAGUUAUCAUAGAAUGAGUUCAAGACACUCACAACUCACUAACUUAACAAUUAGGUACAUAUUUUCAUCAGUGCAGAAUUGAACAAUAUAUGACAACUUACUUUUCAGAAAAGCGGCUAGAGUGCCAUCAGUAAUGGAUUCACCCAUAAAAGGGACAACAACAACAACCAGCUCACCUUCAUUAUAGAAAAGGAUAAAAUGAGCUAUGCAGAUCUUAAAGUAAUCACAAUGGAUGUUCAAGAAGGAAGAGUCAAAAGAAAAUAUGAAAUAUCAUACCACUAUCCGAUGAAAAUGACCUACUCUACAUCAAGACAGAAUUAUUUGUUUGAAGAAAUGAUACGACAUCCCUGUGGCCACAAAAAUAAUUUAGGAAAGAAAUGUUAAGGAACUACGUUCGCCUUUGUUUUGUUCCCUCUUUGUUCAUCUUGUUUAGCCAUUAAUGAUGUGCAACCAAGUAAAAACUCAUAAGUCGGAUAUUUAUAAGUGAAAAAUCUUCAUCUGGUUAUUCGGUCCAAGAUUAAUGAGAGCUAAAUAAGUACUAGCAAUAAGAAGAUCUCCAACACCAACUAAAAUGAUUGACAAGGGGUAUUCACUGUAAAGUAAAAAAGAGCAUUUUUCAGUAUUUGGGUCACAAAAUCAUCCACCCAUCAAAAGUCAAUCUGAAAACUCACCUAGCUUUCACAAUUGCCUCAAUAGUUUUCCUUUCUUGGGGGCUUAACUGGCCAUGUUCAGUAUCAACACUUCUUGUCACCUAUCAUACAUUAGAGAAUGAAUAAUUAAAGCAAACUCGUAGUUUAAACUCCAGUUUUAUCCAAGUAUGCAUUAGAAAACAUACUGGCACAUCAAAAAGCAGUAAGCUAGUAAACACUUCAAUGGUUCCUCUAACAAGUUACACCACACCUUAUUCUUAAGAAAGAGAAUAGCACACCAAAAGUCACAUGAAGAUGUUCGUAGAACUUAUUUUGAUGAGUAAAACACUUAGAAGCCAAAAUGAUGAUACAUUAUAAAACUGUGCAAUAUAUGACUACGUAACGAAAAAAAUGCAUUUGAUGACCUAAGAAGAAUAGUAUGCUUACUCAAAUUAAAUGUCCACAUUGCUAUGAACUUUUCUACAUGACCAUUUGCAAAAACCAAUUUCAAAAGCGAGCCAUCUACCAAUAGUCUUUCAAGGAAAUGCUCUCCUGCAAUAACAUAUCGAAUUCAUUUGUGAGUUAGUAACGUGUAUGUAUCCAUGUGAAAUGUACAAAAACCUGUUUAUGUAUCCAUGUGAACAGGAUAGAACCAAUAAGAGAGUUGUUUAUUUUGACUAAACUAAAUAAUUAAGCAUAAUUCAAAUGUUUCAACUUUGAUAAGAUGAAAGGCAUACCUUAUUUGAUGCUAGUUCUGAUCAUCUUUCUCUUCCUCGUCCAUACUUUGUUCUUCUUCGCUACGAUAAUGUACAGGUGUAUCAUCCUCACUACACCCCUCGUCGAAUUCAUCCUCCUCAAAAUCAUCCUCAUCGACAUCAUCAUCUAUGUCUCCAUCCAAUAAGAUAUUGUGUUCAAUGUUAAUUUUUUGAGUUCUUUGUCUUAAGAUAAUGUUAUUUAUUGUUUCUGCAUAGUGAUAAACAUAUUUUCUGUUACAAGACUUGUAGAUUAUUAUUAUAUGUUGACCUCAAGUCAGAAUUCAGUCACAUUCAACAACCACAAGCAUCACACAAUCUUAAAUAAUAAUGUUUAGAUUUUUAUAUAGAAAGGACAACAAUUAUGAAAAAGUUGAGACUAUUAGUCAAUGUGGAAAAACUUUUCUAGAGAUGACAAAUUUCCAUACAGUAUAUGCCCCAAAGAUGCUAGCUAUAAUUACAGACAUCAUAGAUUUAAUUACACAUGAAAUUCGUAUUGAUUGCUAUUAUAUUAUUUAUAAUCCAUGAACAUGUCUAUUAACUUAAUUAGAAAUUAAUAAAUAAUAGACUUUCAGGACAAGAUCUAGAAACAAACCAAUACCAGCUUUAUUGUUCACCUGAACUGUUUAAACUUUUACGCUACCUUGUGACAAUAUCAGGGUAUCCUGCACCUCAACUUAUUGAUUUCUGGAGGAACAUUAUCAUACCUGAGCAAAAAGUAACUUGCAUUAAGAAUUCAAAGUGAAUACUCUAACAACAAUCUGACCAAAUAGAACAAUACUUCAUGAAUUCGUAACAUACCCAAGUCGAUCAACAAAGAGUUUUAGGGCCAUUAUCUUCUUCUCCGGAUAGUUUUGUUGUCCAGUUCCCAGUCUGGGUAGUCCUACCAGCCGGUUCGAUUUAGUUCCUAAAACAUUGGUGUCAAUAACCAAUACUUGCACUCCUCAGAAAUGAAAAAUAAUUGUGCUGCUUAAAAUAUUAUAAUUAGUAAAACAUUCAGUGAGAUUGACUAUAGUAAAGUCCAUAACCAACUUGUCUGUCAUCAUGGCAUAAUCACAUGUGAUGGAUUCUUGUUACCUAAACUCCCCUCAACAUUUCUCUGUACCAAUCUCCUCUCAAAAUUUAUAGGUCCCAAGAUCAACAUGUAUACUUUUAGAAAAUGACAUGAAAUCUCACGUGUUGAAUAAUAUAGACUAUAUCAACGGAUAUGCAUAUGUUUGCUAUAACUGGAUAGUACAUCUACUGAAAUGGUGAAUUUACCUUCCCAAAAUUUGAACAAAAUAAAAAUAAAGAACCACCACUGCAGAUAUCAAGACGCAAGAAAAACGAUUGUAUAAGAAGUCAAUGACAUCAUGUAGAUUUAACAUUGAUGAUGACAAACAUUUCUAAUUAAUAAAUCAUGUUAAAUAAUUACAUAUACAAACUGUAAAAUAGAUUAAAAGUUUAGGAUAAACUUACAGCAAAUGGUUCACAUUCAUUCCAUUGUCUAGCCAAAUCAAUUUCCUUCAAACCAUGGAGACCAAGACGGCGUAGUUCAGACUCGCUAAACUUCAUAAAAAGUAAAUAUUUCUCAGCAUAUGUAGUCUUCUCAACUCCAAUAAUUGGAUUUAAAGAAACUCCGUGUAAGGCAUCACUGUGUACGACAGUGUGUGUGAUGGUAAAGAUGAUAUCAAAAAAAUACCAAUUCUUUGAAUAAAGGAGCGGGUGUCCCAAUUACAUGACCAGCAGGUAAGAGAUCCCAGGGUUUAAUUGCUCUGCCUAAAUCUCCGUUCUCAUCACAAAGCAAUAGUAUAUUCUCAGGAGGCAAGUUGAGUUGCUUUAGUACCUUGAUUGGCAUAACAACAGAAGAAAAUCAGUGAAAGAUCAAUUUAAACGGCUCGUGCUUGUAAAAUUAUGCAAUGCAUACCUCAAUAGUAAAUGAUGGCAUGAAAGGUUCUAACAAGCAAGCUAUUAAAUAAACAGCCCAACUGAAGUUCUUAUAAUAAUAGAGCAGGAAGCUUCAUCUUCCUUGUACAGCUUCCAAAAUUUUGUAUUCUACAUUUAAAAGUGGAAUAAGUGAUGAUCCAAUGGUUCUUACUCAGAGAAUCUUUUAUUUAGCUUAGGGUUUUUGAUUGAAUAUUCUCGUGAUUCUAGUAUGAAUCUGAGGUUUUUUAAUGGAUUCAUAGGGUAGGGUCUUAACAAGAGAAUUCCGAUCAGAAAAGAAAGAAUAAAAAAAACAUUACACAAAACAAAAUUCCAAAAAGAAAUAGGGAUUGAAAGGAUUCAAGAGGCCUGUAGAGAAAAAACAUUUAUCCAAAAGAUUUAUUCAUUACUACUACAUAAAGCACUACAUUACAUAAACAACCACAUAUGCCUUUACUAGAGCUUUCAAAGCAUUAUGCUAACUACAUAAAUUCUUUUCGAAACAGAAAUAAGUCAAAGGAUAGGCCUUAACAAGUAGAAAGAAGAUAAAGUAACUACUUUUUAAAAUUUCUUCUAGUCUUCCCGGUCACCGAGGGUGACAGCCCGCACAAUGAGUGCUUGCUGCUCCUCCCGCAGCGCUUGCAGCCUCCUCUCCAAAUCCCUUAUGUUCUCUCUGGCAGCGCGAAUGCGUUCUUCUGCCUCUGCUGGAUCUCUUGCUCUAACAUUUCUCAAAAAGAGGUUUAGCGCUCUACGGCGCUCUUGAAUUUCAUUUUUCAGUUGCCCCAUUUCGGCAGCAAUUGCAGAAAGCCUGUUUGUAGCAGCCAUAGCCAUACGUGCUAGUACUCAAUUUCUUUGAUUUGAAUUUGAUGAAGUGAAGACACUUAUCGAGCCUCCAUUUAUAGAGUGGUAGAGGAAUCUCGCCAUGCGUCACGAAUUGGAUGGCAGGCACAAUUCUUACUAGUUCUCCACACUACUUUUCUGUUUUGCAGUUGAAUCAUGCCUAUUUUGUGAAAAACUGGCUGGCUCUGGCUACCUUGCGGAGCAAACAAAAUCCCCCCAAAUCACACUGCCUGUAUGAACAAACAAACUUUGUACAACCAGCUUACGUAGAAAAUCUUCCAUAUUCUAUGCCAAUAGACUCGUGACAUCCAUGUACNNNNNNNNNNNNNNNNNNNNNNNNNNNNNNNNNNNNNNNNNNNNNNNNNNNNNNNNNNNNNNNNNNNNNNNNNNNNNNNNNNNNNNNNNNNNNNNNNNNNGUACCGUGCAAAAAAGUUUUGGCUUCCGCGCGCGCGCGUAAGAGUUGAACGCUUUCCCCUCCGAGCUGCGCUCUUCCUCCCUCGGGGAGGUGAGCUCAUUAGCUCCUUAGCUCCUUAGCUCUAGCUCUAAACUCGUAGCUCAGUAGCUCCUUAGCUCAGUAGCUCUAAGAAAGAAAGGUAGCUCUAGUCUAUCGCUCCGUUCGCUCCACUCACUCUCGAGACAAGAGAUGACAGGAAUGCAAGUAAAGAUCCAAGCUCUUCUAAGGGGGUUAUAGGUGAGGAUACUGAAGUUAUUGAGGUGGAUACUCAAGGUCUUAAUCCAAUUCCAAGGGAUGAGACUCCUGAUGCUGGGACUGAUGUCAGUCAUGAAGGAAACUUGCAAGAGGAGCAUCAUGAGAAUGGUAAUGACAAUCAUGAGCAACAAGAUGUUGAAGGGUUAAACUUAUCCCCUAGGGCCAUUCCUGAUGAUUCUGGUAAUGAUGGAAUUGGGCCUUCUUUGAACAAUGUUUGCCAGGUUUAACAAACAGAAAUGUGAAGUCAAGUUCCAAAAGUCAAUAUAUUUACAAUAUAAAGACUUACUUGCAGAUAUGCAUUUCCUUCACUUGAGAUACUCAUUCCGAUUUUAAGUCCUUGCUUUAGUUUAAUCUAUGUCACAUAAUAUGAAAUGCAGUAUAGAACAAUUAAGUUCAACUUAGUUGUGAUAAAAAAAAUUCUGUCAGAGUUGCAUCAUUACCUUCUCCAUGUCCUCUAAAUAUUGUUCCACAUAUUUACCAAUCUUUUCCGCCAACGACUUUGUCAAGAAAUGAGUUUAUACCCUGGGAGCAUCCAGGAUUACAGAUCCAUAUCCUAGUCCUGUGAAGGAACCAUAGAAGGUAGAGAGAAAUGUAACAAAGAUAAGGCAUGUGGGGUGAGAAGUAAGGUUUCGCAUGACCCAGGAACAACUGGGUUUAAUUCUAGAUUACAGCUCAUUAUCCUUCGAGUUUUUUAAGUUCCAAUGAUAACCCAAGGAAAUAGAUAAAUGAACAAUGAACCUUCAAAAAAAGCAUGUAGUAGCAGAACUUAACCACAAAAUGGUGACUAACCUUGGGGUUUGGCGAUGAAGGACAAGACCCGAUUAACAUAAUUGCCCAAAUUAUUCAGCAACUCAGUGUUUAAUUUUGCUUGCAAGUCCUUCCAUGUGAAUAGUGUGUCUGAUGCCUAAAUAAGAUGUAUGAACGUAAAAAUUCUCUUAGUAAUAAGAUAUAAUAAUGGAGUUGGCAAAUUGUUAACAAAAUAUAGAGUUAAACAAUAAAUUCUAUAUUAACAAAAACACACCUCAGGCUUGUUAGUUAGCAAGUAAUAUCGCCAGACCUCCGCGGGAAUUUUUGUAUCUUUAGCUUCAUUUCCAAACACUCCUACUCCUUUACUCGUGGAAAACUUUCCUGCAUAACCAAGAAUUUAUCAAGAAAUAUAUGAGGGGACAUCCUAAAAGUUUUUUUUUUUUUUUGCACUCACCUCCCACAAGCCAGGGUGUCAAAAUAAUCACUAGUCAGGUUCAAUGGCCAUAUAUUAAUAUCCAUAUCAGAAAGCACACCUGAUUAUAGUUCAAAUAUUCUGUCACGCUAAUGCUCUUCAUCAACGUCCACUUUUCUCCAGUUCCAAGAAGUGUAGAAGGAAACAUCGCCUGAAAUAAGAGAAAAAUAUGUUAAUACAAAAAGCAUACUUUAUAAUCAACUUGAAAUAUGCCCAAAGUAUACUAGCCUCUUUUUAAAAGAAAAACCAACAUACAAUUAACAUCAAGAGUUUAAGCAUAAAUAGUGUAAAGCCUUGCCUUGAAAUUGAGGAUCAAAGUAAAAUCAGGUAAAAUAAUUCUUAUUCUGGUGUUUGGGUGAAAAGUUUUAUCUUCUAAUAGAAAUUGAAAAUCCAUCCGCAAUCAAGAGCUGGGCUCUAGCUAUAAAGAUGAAAUGUUGUACAUAUCAAGUGCGGGUGGGUUGUUAUUUUCUGAUAUUGCUGCAAGCAAAGAUGAUGAAUAACAACUGAACAUAAAGACUAAGCUAGCAUGGACACCCCUGAUGACACUUCACUAUUAGCAGCAUAACUAUUUAUUUCCCACCUCUUCCUGCUUCAUUAAGCACAUGAAAGCUGCAAAUUGAAAAAAGCACAUCAUGAUGUAUUUUCAAAAUAAAGAGGAGAGAUUCUAAAUUCAAAUCUCUUAUUGGUAAAUAUUAUAAAUCAAAUCACAAAAAAUGGGCUGAAACAGUGUACACAUGCGCUUAAUCCAUAUUUGCAGCAAUCCAAGUAUCAAGACAACAAUAUUAUACAAGUAUCAAGACAACAAUAUUAUCUAAUAGUGUACAAGUCUAGCACAGCUAUAAAUUCCAAAUACUUAUAAAUAAUUAAAGAGUAAAUAUAGUUGGACUUUGCCAAAAAAGUAAAUGCAAUACAACCAGAAAUGUAAUAUAGCUUUGAUAAGGAAAAAAAAUCAUCUGAGCCACAAGACCCUAUAAAUAUAAUUAAAGUUGUCCACCCCAUGAUUGAGAAAAUUGCAGUCAAAGUAGUGUCCACACUCCACCUUAUUCAUAUAAUCUAAAAAUAUUUAGAAAAUAGGCCAUUUUUGGGAAAAAUGAUGCCCGAAACCGCCUUUGGCUGUUUUAGACAUAUAGAUCUAAAAAAGAUACCCAAUUUCAAAAAAAAAACACCUCAAUCGGACAUCCGAGCGCAAAGUUAUGAUAGUUUAAAGUUUUUGCAUUAUGACACACAAUUUCAAAACGCAUUUUUCUUAUAUAUCUGUUUUCAUGACAUCCUUUUUAACUAUUUCAUCUUCAAGAUCUCGAAAAGAACUAUGAAAAUGACUACUCAUAAUGGUCAAACGCAUUACUGAGCAUUGAUUUAUGCUAAUUUAAAAAAUUUAUCCCAACAUACAACCUUUACCUUCAUUUGUGUAUUACUCGUUGCCUUCAUUUGUUCUGCCAACAAUCUAAUUUGAUCGGAUAACAAAAACCACAAGUAAAAAAGGAAGUAAAAAAACAAAAACCAUAAAAAAGCCCUAACAAAGUAACAAGUAACAGUGUAACACUCAUAUGCCAUAUAUAGACAAAUCGACAUAAAUAGGGAGAAAUCAAUUAACUAAAUCUCAAAAUAAACUCAAAAUUACCUAAGAAAAAGGAAGAUUCUGGAAUCUAGAGACUAGAGUUGGAGAGGCGACUGCGAUGCGGCGACUAGCGAGUCGGAGGUUGGCCGGUGGGAGAAGAAUUGAUGGAUCGUCGAGGUGGAGACUUCGAGAAUCGAGAUGGAUGGACUGUGUUCGUUCGACUGUUCUAGAAGGAGAGGACUGGGUCUGGGUUCGCGACUUCGCGUUCGACUGGUCUGUUCGAGAUGGGUCUGGGAGAGAAACUGUGAAGAAGAACCCCAAACUUAUGUAUGUAUGCUAUGAGAAGAUUACAGGGCGAUGAUUUUGUUUUGAUCGGCUGAGAAAAAGAUGUUUACAUGGAGUGAAGAUUAUAGGGGGUGAUGAUUUUUUUUAUGUUUUUAUCUUAUUAUUUUAAGUUUAUACAUAUUUUAACUUUUUUUAUUAUUUUAAUAUUAUACAUAUUAUAAAUAUUUCCAACUCAUUUUUUUAAAGUACAUUUUUAAAAUAUAAUAAAAUUAAAAUAAAUAUUUUAAUUCAUUUUCUAUAUAAUUUUUUUUCCUUACUUUUAAUAUUUUUUUUAUUUUUAAAAUUAAUUCCAAAUAAUACAAAUAAUAUUAAACUUUUUAAUAACUAAAUAUAAAAACAAAAAACAAAAUAAAAUAAAAAAAGGAUAAGCCAAAGAUGAAUAUUUUGAUUAUUUGUAUUAUUUAGAAUUAAAAUAAUUAAAAGAAAUGAAAAGAGAGAAAGGAAAAAAAAAUUAAAAAUAAUAAUGAGGUUUUGAUUGUAUAAUUAAUUUUAAUUUUUAUGUCAUUUGUUUAACUAAUUUUUGCUAAUUGUAUCAAAUUUUCUAUUUGAUGUUAAUUAUGUACCUACUUUUUUUAUAUCAUUAAAAUAUAUAUUAUUAUUAAUUUUUAAAAUAAAAAUAAUUAUUAAAAGAAAGGGAAAGAGAUAAGGAAAAGAAUACAAAUAAAGAAAAUGAAUUAAAAUAUUUAUUAUUAGUUUAAUUAUUUUUUGCCACGUAAUUAAUGAUUUUUGUAGACAUUAAUAUAAUGUUGUAAUAGAUCUCAUUGAUACAAAAAUUUUGAUAUAUUAUUUGGAAAAGAGAAAAGGAAAAGAAAAAGCCACAUAAUCAAUGAUUUUAUUUUAGUAUUUUUUUUGUGUUGCCACAUCUGAAAAUAAUAAUUUUUUGAAAUUUUUUUCAAUACCACGUGUGAUUAUUUGACGUCCGUCCAAGAAAUUGGAAGGAAUGGCUUGAUUGAAUAUUUUUAAAAAGUACAGUGAGCUAAUUGAAUAUUUUAAAAGCACAAUGACUAAUUGCUUAAAACACUACAACUACAGUGCUGUAAAAGUGUUUUUUGCCUUUUUUAAUAUUAUUAAAUAAACUGGUACGUUCGGUUCGACAUAUACCGAUCAAGCCAAAUAGCCUACCGAAAUCGAUCCCGAAAACCCGGUAUGUACCGGUUAUGUGUAUCGGUACCGAAUCGGUUCGUCUUUGCACCGAACCGACCGGUUCAAACCUGUUCGGUUUCCCUAAAUAUAAUAAUUAAUGUUUUAAAUUAUAAUUUGAGUAAGUUUUUAUCAUUUUUGAAAUAUUAAAUUUUAAAAUGAAUACUUUAAUUACAACUAUAUGUAGAAUAAGAAAAAAAUAAUAAUGAGUUUUAAAGUAUAGUAUUAAUGAAUGAAUAUUAAUUUAUUUAUUUUGAAUAAAUACAAUAAUCAAUAAUCUAAAUUACUAUUCAAANNNNNNNNNNNNNNNNNNNNNNNNNNNNNNNNNNNNNNNNNNNNNNNNNNNNNNNNNNNNNNNNNNNNNNNNNNNNNNNNNNNNNNNNNNNNNNNNNNNNUGUUGAUGCAUAGAUUCGAACCCAAGACCUCCAGUUUGGAAUAUUGAUCCAAUGACCACCCGAGCACCUGAGCCUAGUUGCUAUUAUUUUGCAAGGAUUAGUAUUUAGUACUAUUAUUAACAACAUUUUUAUAGUCGUUGCAAAAAGUUGUAUAAAAUAUGCAAAGAAAAUAAAAAAUGUUGCUAAUGAAUGUGGUCCAUAUUAGGCAACGAAAUAUAGCAACAAAAAAACUUUUGUUGCCCACGAUGAGGAGAAAUCAAGUGGUUACAAAUUUUGCAACGAAUUUCUAACGAAUUUUGUUUCCAAAUUUUGCAACUACUUAUAAAUUUCGUUGCAAAAAGUGAAAGUCCGACACAAUCUGUAACGAAGGACAAGUUUCGUUGCUAAACAUACACUUUUAGCAACGACUUAUAAUGUCGUUGCUUGAAAAAUCGUUGCUAAAGCCCCAGUUUUAGUAACAAAAAAACUUUUGUUGCCCACGAUGACGGGAAAGCAAGUGACCGAAAAUUUUACAACGAAUUUCUAACGAAAUUUUUUCCUGCCAAUGAAUUAGCAACGAAAUUUUGCAACGACUUAUGAAUUUCGUUGCAAAAAGUGAAAGUCUGAUACAAUCUGUAAUGAAUGACAAAUUUUGUUGCUAAACAUAUAUUUUUAUUACGACUUAUAAAGUCGUUACCCGAAAAAUCGUUGCUAAAGGCCCAUUUUUUUGUAGUGAUAUAUUCUUAUGAAUAAUCCUUAUGUACGCUUCGGUUUAUACACUAUUUAUCGAUUGUACAACCUUCGAACUUAUACAAACUCUAUGUUAAUUAUAUAAAUGUUCAACUAUGCUAUAAUUCUUAAAUUGUUUAACGAUUUGCUAUAAUGCAUAAAUUGUUCAAGUUUUGUAUUUACAUAAAUUGUUCAAGUUUUAAAGUUCUUAUAUUCAUGAACUAUUUAAAAGUUAUGUUAAUGACAAUUGUAUUGGCUAGAUAAAUGUUAAAACGUUUUAUUGAUUUAAAUACCAUUCUCUGAAAUGUUUUUUGGAUUAGGUAGAGUUGUCUUCCCAAAUUAUUUUGGGGUUCGUACUCCAGUCUAAGAUGAACAACCCUAAUAUUGAGGUUUUUUUUACGUUGAAAAAUCCCGACAAACCCUUGAGGUGGUCACAUAAACGCAUAUAGUUGUUUAGCCAGAGUGUUGUACAACAUAGGGUACACUGGGCUGAUCACCCAACGUGCCCGUAAGCUAGACCAGUUCAUAGUUGAAUUAUUGUUGAACCCUUGAGAAAAAAAAAUGUUCGAGGUCUUUGACCGCUCAGUACAUUGUUUCAAAAAUAUUAGAUAAAGUAGAAAUUUAUUAUUUUUAUUCUUAUUUAUUUGGAAUGCUUUCACGACUAUUAUUUAAUUGUAGUAAUAGGAGCAUGAUUCUUGAUUUUGUUGUUUAUUCAACUGUUUAUACUUGAUGAGCUUUGUAGCUUAUCCUUGCUUUAAAUUAAAUAUUUUUCAACGAAGCUAGAGCAGAUUGAAGGGUCCUAUAAGGAUAAAGGGAAAGGAAAGGUAGACGAGUAGAAGAUAGCUGUAAAUAUUUAUAAUAAUUAGUAGUAUUGUAAUAACUACUUAAUACUUUAUCAUGUGUUUAAGACUUAAAGGUUUGCGAACCUAGGAUUUAGAGUGAGACAUAUUAUAAUAAAUAGAUUUGCAUUUAUGUCAUUAUAUUAUUUUACAUGAGAAGUAUCGUGGAACAUCAUAUUCAAAGUUUAAAGGAAUUCAGAUUUGAGGGUGUCACAGGUUGGUAUCAGAGCUAUAUGCACAAUUUGGUGUGAAGAGCCUCGAGCUUCUCGCUGGUGACGUCCCUAGAAAAGGAGGCACGAAAACUAGACUCUUUGUAGGGGACACCGUAAUUUGAAGGUGGCUAGCUAAUAGGUAUCCCUGUGAGGUGCUAUGGUAUAUCCAUGAGCGUCACAGAUUGGUAUUAGAGUUGUAGGUUAGAAACCUUAGGUGAGAACACUUUAGGCUAUAACCUUGGAGGAAUUAGAGCAGUAGAGAAGAUAGUAAGAAGAUAAACUCAAGACGAGUUUUUAGGAGAUGAAUUACAGGUAUUCAUCAAAAGAAAUUGAGGAAAAAGUAAAGAUAACAUAAAAUAAAUUGUUAUUUGAUAUAUGAAAUAUGGGUUUUCAUUAUGCGCUAAUCAAGAUAAUAUAUUUGAUUGUAGAUGUCAAGAACUAAUGAAUUUAAAAAUGUUUGCAUAGUAAGCGAGGAGCUGAUUUGUCCGCUUGAGCUAGUACCUGAGCCGAAAUCUGUUGUGCUAAUAGAGAGUGAUCUAGGCAUGGAUCUUCAGUUUGAUAAGGAUAUGAAGGAAGAAGUGUCAGCUAAAGUAGCUUACAAUAAAGCAUCUGAAGCUAUAUAUUCUGAGAAGUUAUUUGGAGAUGAACCUAUGGUGAACUUAAGAAGUGAUCAUGAAAGUAUCCAGAAAUGGAACUCAAUGAUGAAAUGGAAGUAAAUUCCAAGGAGGCUAAUAUAGAGCAAGAAGUAGAGUCAGUAAAAGAAAAAAGGAAAAGUGCAACAGAAGCUGUGAAUGAUCAACUAAUGAAAGAAGUACAAGAUUCGAAGCAUAAGGUGUUUUUCUUGGAAGAAAUGUGGGAAAGGGAAAGAUUAUUGAAUAAUAAAUUGGAGAAGGCGUUAAGUGAGAUGACGGAUGAGCGUGAUGAGUUGAAUGUGAGGAUUAACGAAAUGGGAGUGAAAAGCAAUAUAAGUGUUGAAGCUUAGAAUAAGAAGAGAAAAGAGAAUUGGAUUGAUAGAUAGGAAAACCAUAAGAAAAUGGUAAAUGAAUGUAAAAAUUAAGGUAGAAACCACAUUGGUGUAUGUUUAAAAGGACAUAAAGUAUGUUUUAAUUGUGGGCAAAAAGGAUCAUUUUUCUCCCAACUGCCCCAACCCAAGGAAAUGAGCUUGUCUCAACUAUGGAUCAUUUGAGCAUAUAGUUAAGAAUUGUUCGAUAAAAGAACAAGUAUAAAAUGAUGUAUAAGCAUAUGAAUGUUAGGGUGUUUAUGUGUUAUGUGAAUUCCAACUUGUAAUAUAAAUAGCGAGAUAUCUUUUGUAAGUAUUAACUGAUAUAUAAGUUGAGGAUUCGAAUAUGUUAAUCUCAUCUUUUGUAAUAAAUAGAUAGAUGAAAUUGUAAUUAGCCAGAAGGCUAAGAAGAAAGAAGUACGUAAUUGAAAGAAAGUAGUAAGAGAACAGAAGUAUGUAAAUAAAAGUAUAUAUGUUGAAGCAUAUUAAUAAAAGAUAUUUAUUAAAUAUGCUUGUGAUGAAUAUGUGUUAAAAUUGAAUAAAAAUACUUAAAAGUAUGGAAAUAAAAUAAUAAUAAUAGUAUUAUUUUAUUAACUAGAAGAUGUAGUCGAGAAAAAGGCAUGGAGUACAAGAGAAAAGGUUAAGAAACGAAAGUGAGAAUGAGAAUAGGGAACGAAUUAAUCCUAUAUAUUAAUUAUGUUGAUUUUGGGUACGAUCUAUUGAAAUUUUAUAGUAUGAAUUGUUCGAUGUUUAAGUUUUAUUCUAGAGAAUCUAGAAAGUUUUUUUGAGAAUAGAAGAUACAAGUAAGGGUAUAGUCCCUGAUGUGCAUAUUAAUAGAAAAUACUUUGUUAAGGUUGGAGAGCAUGAAGUUAUGAUGAAAUUAAUUCCGAUUUAUUGUUAAUGAUUUGAUGAAAAAAAUGAUUUGGUUAAUUAACCAUAGAGCAAUGUAGUAAUGCCAGAAGAAGCUAAGUGAACCUUAAUACUGUGAAACAGUAUAAGGUAGUAUGCGGUGACAGUAAGUUGUCGAGAUGUUCUCAUUGGUUGAGGUUGAUGAUAUAAACUAGAAAGGAUGUUAAGAAAUAAAUGUGAAGAUUAUUAAGGUUACCUUAUGAAUAUCCAAAGUAUCAAAACAGUAAUAGGUUAGACAACCGUAGUAAAAGAAAUUAUGGGUGUUUUGUUCGAAUAAAAUACUAGGAUCAAUGAUUUCUUUAAUCUGUUGAAAGGAGUGGAGUAUUUUUUUGAGGAUAAAUUUGAGGAUCGAGUAUUAUUAGUUAAAAAUGAGUAAAGAAAAUGUUCUGAGCAUAUCAUUAUGAACUUAUUAUGAUUAUUACUAGUCUUGGUGAAGUCGUUUGGAUUGAGGAAUGUGUUAGCUGCAUUUAUAGAUGUAUUGAAUAGAGAAUUCAAGCUAUAUUGGACAAAUUGAUAAUAAUAUGUAUAGGUGAUAUUCGACCCACAUUUGAAGUAGGCGCCCUUCUUUGGGUUAGGGCAGUUAGGUGCUAUGUGGCUUUCCUGACCACAAUUGUAGCAAACUCUUUUCCCUUUCAUACAGACCCCCAGGUGAGCUUUCCCGCAGGUCGGACAUGCUUCAAUCCUCUUCUUCAGACCUCCUUGUUGAUUUCCAGUUGACGAGUUGUCAGUCCGCCUCCUUUUCUGAUUGUUACUUCCUCCCGUGUUGCUGCCACUGACCUUGUUAUUUCCCUCAUUUCACUCUUCUUCUUCUUUUGAUCCUGAUUGUACUUGGUCACCGCAUUGCUCCCACGUUCAGCGAGGAUGGCCUUUUCUAAUACUCCAGCAAAAGUAUUCAACUGAAACAUUGACACUUUGCUAUAUAACCAGUGCUUCAGUCCCUGUUCAAACUUUCUUGCCUUCCUCUCAUCCGUGUAUACUUGAUACGUGCGAACCUAGCCAACUCAUUAAAUUUUUUCACAUAGUCUGAUAUGGACAUAUUGCCUUGCUUUAAUUCCUGAAAUUUUACCUCCAUUUGGUUCUGCGAGUUUGUCAGGAAAUACAUCUCGAAGAAUAUCUCCUUAAACCUUUCCCAAGCGAUCACACCUUCUCCUCCACGGACCUUAUUUGCUUGCCAACAAUAACUGGCCUCUGAUUUCAGCAUGAACGUUGCGUAGGUAGUUUUCUGGUUCUCUCUGACUCUGGCGACGUUAAACACUUUUUCCAUCUCCAUAACCCAAGUUUGAGCUUCUAUUGGGUUCAUGAAGCCUUUAAAUUCUGGCGAUCCCACCGCCUUGAAGUCCUUGAACAUUAUAUUUGGUGGAGUUUGAGGUUGAUUGUUAAUCUCUCCAGCCAAUAAGUUCACCAACUGCUGAACAGAGUUAGCAUUGGCGUCGUUGUUGUUGUUCGUGCAGUUGACGGUUUGGUCUUCUUCUUGGCUGCAUUUUUUUGUUAAAAUAUACGCUUAUUAGGUCUUUAUUCAAUCCUCUAAAUAUCUAAGGCUUAACUUAAACAUUUAAACAUAAUAACUCAACACGUUAUCUCAAAUAAACUCUGAUAUUUUAUUUAAAUCGAAAGUUUUUAACAUACUAUGAUAACAUCACUGCUAUUUACUUCAACUAUCCCGAGAUAAAGAAUCUUCAGGAUUAAUCAUUAUAUUCCAUUACUUUUAUUUACAUUGGAAUUUACAUCAUUAACUACCAUAAAUAUCCACUUAAUUCACACUGUUCCUAUCACGGCCUAUUAACACGUCGAACAACUUCUUUGCGCUCUUCUUCCAUGAUACGAAACAUCGUCCUACGAUCCAGCAUGUACCAAGGUAAGUCCUCAAACUGAAUUGGAUAGUACAUAUCUUGAUCCUGAGCUUUGUUCACCAUAGUGUUGAAUGAACAAUCCAUCUCCACCAUCUUGACCUUCUUUGCUUGCACCUCUUCCUCGGCUACAUCUGCUCUCUGAGAAGCCUGCUCUUAAGAAUCUUCAUCUCUGGCUCGCUUGGCGGACUCUUCUCUCAAAUCAUCCUUCAGCUUUGCAACCUCUACCACCAGCUCCUCAUUUUCACCCCCUAAGUGAACUAAUUUCCACUCCACAUUUCCAAGACGUGCAUCAAGCCCUUGGAUUUCCUCAUUCUUCUAACCUAUAGUGGCUUGGCAUGCAUAUGCCAAUCCCUCUAACUCUCUGACUUUAUCCAGCAACUCAUUGGUACAGUCAUACACCUCGUCAUGCAUCUGAGCUGUAAUAGAGUUCGGUGGGAACUCAUCUUCCUCCUCUUCCUCCUCAGGAUUAGUUUCAGACACAUGCUCCUGACCCACAACAGUGAUCAAUGGAGAUGGCUCUCUCUGUACCAACUGCUCCCGGACAACAUGGAUGUCUCGGGGCUCCUCCUCUCUAGGUACUCGGGGUUCCUCCUUCCCCAGCUCGACUAGAUCCUCCAACAUCCGACAUCUUGACAACAUAGUUUUAAGUUUUAGUUACUAAUCGAUACUGCGAUCACAUAACUUUAGCACAUAAGCACAUAAAGUCUUUUAUUAUAUUCAAUGAAUUACGAAAUUCAAUUUCUUAGAACUCGAUAAGAGUUUAUCACCACUAUGUUCUCGAUCUCUUAUAAGGCUACUACCUAAGGUUUUUCCCCCACCUAAGGUUUAUAACCUACAGCUCUGAUACCAACCCGUGACACCCCGAAAUUCGGGUACUUCAAUUCCCACGGAAUUUGGUGUUCACUAUACAAACAUCAUGCAUCUAUCUACCCAUAAUAAAUGAAAACCAUAAAUAGAUAGAAAUAAAUCCUCUCCUUAUGGAGUUACAACAUCUGAUUUUAAAUACAUCAAUCCCAGGUCAUACUAACCUUAAAUCUCAAAUGCGGAAACAAAUAAUAAGUCUUACAUAACUUAAACAUAAGUCUGAAACAUAACAUAAAAAAUAAACAACAAGUCUUCAUCACUUGUUGAACUUGCCCUUGCCUUUGUUAGUAGAAGGCUCGUCGGACAUUUCGUUCUUAACUGCAAUGUUAUUAUUACGCAACAGUACUGAGCACGAUUAGCCACAAGUAUAAUAAUAUAACAAUAAAAUAAUAACAUGCGAAUGAAUCAAAGACUUCUGAAAUAAGAAACUCGAUUUUUGAAUCAAGAAUGAAUAACAAGAAUCAAAAGAACUUCUGAGGGUCAUAAGACCUUGAACUAUGUCCUAGGUUGUCAAGUGUUUAUACUUGAAACAUUUAACAGUCAUAAGACUAUGGACUCUUCUUCUCGUACUUAGGGGGAUCAACCCUUAAUACCAUACUGUGCACAAUAUCUUAAUGCUAAAGAAUAAUUAAUCCCCUAUAACAAGGUUGUUCAUCUCAGUUUGACAUUAGAGUCCGCACCAAAGGAAGUUGGUUUGGAUAAGCUCAACAAUGGUUCUGAAAUUUAGAACGUUCAUCAAACAUGGACUAUUUGAAUCAGUAAGGGUUCGCUAGUCUUACAAGGUUCAACAAUAAUUGAUAUUAAAUUUAAAUAAUAAAAAUUCAAGAGAUAUACAAUAGAAUAUGUAUUGUGUAACAGGAAUCAUGCUUUUAAAAUGAUAACAUCUAAUAUAAAAUCUUGACUUGAACAAUAAUAAACAAGAUAGAAUAAGGAACUUUCUUUAUGUAAAGAAACAAGAUUUAGGAACUAGCUCAAAUAAAGUUAGGGUUAAAGAACUUGCCUCGUGCGCAAGCUAUAGUUAUAGUUACAAAUUAAUUUUUCAACGUCCUACACAUUACAUGAAUUCACAACAUUCAUUAGUUACCUUCAUAUUAACCUUAUAGGUUUAGUUCCUUCUUUUAAAUCUAAUUUGUUAACACAAUUCAAAUUCUGACUUUUGAAUUAACGUCACGUUACCAAUUUGAAAUCAUAAGGCUAUCAUAGCAAUGUAACCUUUAAACACAUCUCAAGACUUAAACAAUUAACAAAUUAAAGCUUUUCAUAUUUAUUAACUUCACAAUUUGAAAUCAUUGAACACAUGCUUAUAAUUAAUUAUAAAACCUCAUUACAUGUUUAACACACUAUCAUGCACCUUAGACUAGGUUAGGCCAAUAUGUCAUGGUCUGAAAACUAUAAGAAAACAAACUGCUUCUGCUCAUGAGAGGGCGCAGCUGCGCCACCCUAAGCCUUGGCACUGGCGCAGCUACGCUGGUGCUCAAAACUCAGAACACUCAGCCGGCGCAGCUGCGCCGUUUUUGCCUUUGGUACUGGCACAGCUGCGCCGGUACGCAGACAGAAACUUGCAGACUGCGUACUCUGCUUCACAGUAUAACCCAAACAAUGCAAUUUCUCCAACUUAACGGAAAUUUAACAUACCUUGAAGCUAUACGCCUGUUAACCACAACACCAAGCAUGCAUAUCAUGAUUCUAGUAAUAUAACAUCAUACAAAGUCAACUUUUAAGGAUCAAAAUCAUGUUUUUACUAGUUUUCUUCAUAUUUCAACAUAUUUAGCGAAAUCAACCACUAAAUAUUCGUUUCAUAACCAAAUCAAGCCAUUUCAGUUGGAUUCUUUUCGUAAUUCAACAUACUAACAUAUUUUGAAAUCAAUUUACAGAUUACAAUAAGAAUUGAACACUAAUUUUGGUUCUAAAUUCAUCCUUUUUGUACUUUUUAUAACAAAACCCCAAUUUUUAGUUGAAAACCUAUUUCAUACAAAUUUAACUUCUGAAAAUCGUUUCUAAUUCACAUAUAAUAGAUUAUAUCUAUUAAACAACAUAAACAUCCAUUGUUCUAACAAAUCAUCAAUCAAAACUCAGAUUUUGACUUCAAAAUCAUAUAUUGUUACUAUAAAAUUAAAAUCCCUCUUUUAAAACCAAAGUACAUGGAUUAAUUCACCUAAAAUCGUUUAUAAACAUCAUAUAUUAGAUUAUUCAUGCAUAUAACAAUUUAUAACAACUUUUCAACAAUUAUUCAUGAAAAUUCCAAUUACAGAAAGCUAAAAGUCAAUUUUUAUGAAAAGUUCUUAAGUACGUAAAUUAAAAGUUUAGAUUAGGGAAUUACCCUUAAUUUCUCUGUUAAGAUGAUAAGAACUUCCUUCUUGCUACUACAAUUUCCUUCCUCAGCAAUAAUUUUCUCUCAAUUCUCCCUCUUUUCUUUCUGAGUUUUCUUAGACUUGUAAAAAAAUAUGAAUGAACAAUGACCUGAAGACGUAUUAAUUAACCGGUGAGUCAUGGGCAUCAGUUAAGCACAACGGGGCCUUAACUGCUCCCAUGUUCUUUAGGCCAUGUUUGGCUUGGACAUUAAAUCCCCUUCUAAUUUAUUUUAAUUAAUUUAUUAGUAUAUAGUUUAUUUGACACACUUUAAUUAAUCAAAUAAUAUUAUUUAAACUCAAUUAAAUAAAAGGCAAAAUUACUUAUUAAAUCAAAUCAUCACAUAAUUAAAAUUCUCAUUUAUUAAUUAUGUCAAAUCAUUAAAUUUCUAAUUAAUUAUUAAAUUAAUUAGAAUAACAUUAUGCUUAUUAAAUAAUUUAUUUAACCAAAUAAGCUUAAUUAAAUACAUAUUUUGAAUUAUAAAUUCUCCACAUUAAUUUAAUAAAUGUAACACAUAUAACAAAAUUAAUCUACCACAAAUUUCUUAAUAAUUAUUUAGCCAAAUAAUUAAAUCAUCAAAAAAAUAUUUAUUUAAUUCAAUAAAUAUUCAAAUUAAAUUAUAAAAAUCUCGUUCGUCACAUCUUUCCCCCCUUAAAAGGAUUCUGUCCCCAGAAUCACAACUCAAUCAAUUCGUCCCGUUACAGAGAACCUGGGAUUUAGAGUGAGACAUAUUAUAAUAAUUAGAAGUUGCAUUUAUAUCAUUAUUAUUAUGUUAGAUGCCAAGUACCAUGGAACAUUAUAUUCAUAGUUUAAAGGUACUCGAAUUUGGGGGCAUCUUAAGCAGCGCUGUAUAGCAGCCACAUGUAUGCAAAAUGCGCCACACGCCGCUCGCACACUGCCUAGUCGCCCUUAUUUCCAGCUUUGGUGAUCUCAACGCCCCUACUUUGGCACUUCAUAACUAGGUUGUAUGAACUCAGAAUUAGUCCGUUCUUGAGGCUAUAGCUUGUUGGGAUUGUACUUUACAAAACCCCAUAAUAUCAAAAAUUUUUGGAAACUCUAAAUUAGCCAAAACAGUGGUCCAAAAGUCCCUUCUUGCGCUGAUUUGUAGUUUGGCAGUUUUGACGCGCCUACUUCUGAACGUCAUAACUCAUUCGCUCGACAUCGGAAUGGCUCCGUUCCGGAGGCUAUAGAUAACUAAACUAGUGUACUAUACAUACCAGAAAAUCAGAAGUUUCAAGAAACUUUAACCAGCCACGAAAGUAAGCUAAAAGUUGACAGUCACACUAAUUUUUUUUUGUUUUUAACUUUCUUUACUAAAUCAUUGACCAUAAAUUCAUUUUAUCUUCUUUUUGCUUCGUUCCAAUUAAGUUAUUUUCGUAACUCAUAAGAGUACACUCCAUUAUUAUAGAACUUAAUUUUUGGUUCUAUACCAUUAUAAAUUUUGGCUCAAGAACAGCCCCCAAAAAUAGUUUCAAUAAGUUCUUGUUUUUACAUGUUGUAAUAGAAAAUCCGCCAUGAAUUCGUUACAACAGAUUUUAUCCCGUUCCAAUUAGGCGAUGUUUGUAACUCAUAAGAGCAUAUCUCAUCACCCUAGAAAUUAUUAUUUAGAUUUGCGACACCACAAAAAAGGCCUCCAAAACAAGCCCUUAACAGUCCAUAAUUCAUCCUUAUGCAUAGGUUUGUAUUUCUUUUUUCAUUUUUGUUCCACUUUUCAUGUUGUUUACUGGUAGUUUACAUAUAUAAACCACCUUAUACCUCCUAGAUCCUUCAUGAUCUCAAAUAAUCAUAACAACCACCAUCAAAACUAAUAAAAAACAUAACAGGAUGGAAAAUUGGUCUAAGGUUUUAAUAUUACCUCUUCUUGCUUUUUCAUGUUCUUCUUUACAUAAUCUUGAUGAUUAAAACUUAAAGCUUGCUAGAUCCUUGCUCUUCCUUGUCCCACUUCCACCCUUUGACUCUCUCUCUUUCUCUUUAUUCAUAUAAACAAAUGGGGGAGACAAGCAGUAAAUGACUUGCUCCCUUUGGCACAAAACUUACUAUCAAUGGAAAGUUUCCAUCCUCUUUUGCCUCCCUCUCAUGCCCGGUUCCUCCUUGGGUUGUCACGAAAUCCAUAAUGCCAAGAACAAUUUUCACUUGCUCUUUCCAAGUAGUAAAAUUAGUCCCAUUUAAGGCUACAAUUCUAGAGAGAUACCCAGAAAUACUAGUUGGAGUCAAUACUAAAACAUAAUCAAGCUCAUAAGCAUACUUACAAAAAACUAAAAGAAAUUCACAAUGUAUAAUAAUAAUUAAUAAUUAAUCAUAAUAAAAUCAACUGUAAGGCAAGUAGUUAGUUACAUAAAAUCUAUUUACAACACUCACAAAUAGAUUUUAAUGAUAUGUUGGUGCAUAAUUAUCAAUCUUUCAUUGGUCCAAUUAAUAAUAUGUUAAUAACAUCCCCAUAAAAUAAUGCACAACACAUUUAUCCACAUAUCACCGUUGAGCAGAAACGAAAAAAACAUGUUACAUAUGAAAUAAAAUUUCAUUUAAUAAAUUCUAAUUUUAAUUUUUCCGUUGGGUAAAUAUUAAAAUCUUCAUUUAUUAAAUAUAACAUUAUGCGACUUUUCCUAAUAAUUAAUUGUUUUAAUUAAUAACCCUCUGUUGAGCUAAUUAUUAAUUUUAAUAAUAAAAGAGACACAUAUAUGCAAAUUGUUAUGACCAAACUUAAUUUUCUUUAGAUAACAUAUUAAUCAAGUUUGAAAGUUAACAUUAUUUAUAAUUUACAUAUAGCAACUUAAAACCCCUAAUAAUAUAUCAUGUUCCAAAAUCUACAUUAAGAUACAUAAUUAUGAACAUGAAUUAAUUACUGAAUAUUCACAUAAAAUCUAAACUUAAAAUAUAAUGACAUAAUAUAAAAUAAUAUUAUAUAAACAUAAUCAAAAAUUAAUCCAUAACCAUUACUAACUGAUCCAACUCACACAUAAGUUUAAUAAGCAGAGCAUGCAAUAUCCAUAAAUUGAGAUCACAAUACAUAAAGAAACACUUUAUUAUCAUGAAUAUAGGAAUUGAGUUUUAGGUAAAAUCUAGUUACGCACAACACGCAAGUAUACGUGGUCAACAAGUAUUAAUGUGAUGAGUAGAGUAUCGUUCCCACGGAGAAAAUAACUGAAAUUUAUCCUAACAACUACCAAUGUUAUAUUAUCCCCAUUUUAUUAAAGUAAUGAUCUAGUUUGUGAAAUUUAUAAAAACUACUAAUUUAAGAAAAAGUAACUAACUACCACAAUGUUUAAUCAAGAUUUUGUAGAAUUAAGACUACAACUUUACUUAAUGAUUCACUUAGAAUGACACACUUCCUUUUAAUUCAAAUUAACUAUUCCAGAUUGUUAAUCAAGAACACAACAUCAGAAAUAACCAUCUCUCAAUGCAUUAUACCCAUAUCAACUUAAAUCCACAAUUGAUGGACUUAAGAAGAACACCCUAAUUAAUUAAUUCACUAUAUCUCUAUGCGAAUUAUAAUUAAAGAAGGUUUAAGCAUAAGUUCUUAUUAGAUUACGUGCGAUGCGUAGGUAUAUCUCUAUCCUAAGCAUAAAAUAUGAAUCCCACAAUCAUGUAAAAAUCACAAUCACAUGCUACUAUGAUGAGAUCUAAACCCAUAUUCCAUCUCUCGAGUUCAUAUAGAUUAUCAAGUAAUUGGUGAUCAAACAAUUAAAUAAUUAAGCAUAAACCAUAGUUGACAAAUCUGGAAAAAGUCUCAAUGAAUUAAUGUAGAAGCAUGUCAAUCCUCGUUACACAAAAAGAUCCAUUGUAGACUUAAAUAAUAAAUUAGUUCAUGCUGGAUGAAUAAGAAACUAAAAUCCACAGAGAGAAUAACAUUCUGAAUACAAGGAUAAUAGUGAAGAUAGAGAAUAAAAAUUGUAAUGUCCACUGCUUCUCUUCCUCACGUUCGCCUUGAAUUCUUCGUCCUAGCUCUCUGCUUCAAUCCUCCAAUACGUGAUGUAGAACUAGAGUUUUAUUAAUGAUACUCAAUAUCCCCUCUUUGCCCUUCUAUCUCUUCUUUUUAUCUUUCCAAUAGCGCCCCCAAAAAUCUCUCAGCAACAGACCUCCCGAAUCAUAUCAGAACAAGGAAACCUCAAGUCAACUGUCGUGUAUCUCGCCGUGGCAUAAUUGCCCACUUAAGAAAUCCGCCCCGGCGCAUUUACGCCACGACACGCUUUAUUAGCUUUGAAUCUGCGCCCCGUCGCACUUGUCCCAACAAGAGCUGAAAUUUCUUUUUUUAUACUGAUUAUCCUGUUCUCGCUCGCACAACCUGUUCCUGCAUAUAAACAACGAAAACAAGUAAAAAUGCUACUAAAAUCGCUCAAAGUAGCAACGAAUCAAGCUCAGAAGGUAACCAAUUCAUAGGUAUAAAACUCACUCAUCAAAUACCCCCAAACAUGAGACUUUAUUUGUCCUCAAGCAAAACACAAAUGCAAAUUCACACUAACUAUGUGUACUCAACAACCACAGAAAACAACUGCAGUUCAAAUAUAACACAUAAUAUGCUUCUUAGAGGGAAAAACAUAGUUUUAAUCUAAGAAAAUCUAUCACAGGCUAAUCUCCGACCAAAACUAUGUACUUUACCAAGUCAGAGAUUCAUACUCGAUUCAAUUCUUUAUAUAUUUUUUAUUUUUUUUCCGACGGGAGCAUUUUGCUCUUUUUCCCAUGCUUCAACUGUACACAUGAUUGUGCAAUGCCUAGUUCUCUUAGGCUUUUCAAUGUUACCCAUUUAGCGAGCUUUCGACCAACGACUCCCAAUCCAGACGGCUUUAGAGCACUAGGUGUAAAGACAUCCCCUAGGGCGUACUUACUCAAGUAACAAUGGCCAUCGAACUAAACUAGUCACGGUGUUUAUUCAUAUUUUUCUUUUAUUUUUCUGAUUUUUUUUACUAAACCCCGUAUCUUCCCCCAAACUUAGGUUUUUGCAUAAUCCUAAUCUUUACUACCAGUUCAUUGAAUUUCCUACAUUAUAACCAAAGUUUCCCUCAAGAAGACACUUAUGUGAAAAUUUCAACCCAAUCAAUCAACAUAGUUAUCAUACUAUGCUAUCAAGUUACAUUAGUUUCAAACAAGCAAAGAUUUACUUCAAGCUAUGAAGUUACAUCAAUGUCCUAAUUAUAGAAACUGAUCACUAUUUAAUUCCAAUUUCAUCAUAGACUAAGUUAAUCCCAAACUAUCUGACAAGCUGGAAACAUGCAACAUGAAUAACUAUGCAAAACAACUAAACUAAACACAUAUUUUUGUGAAUUUCAAGGCUUUAUAUUUUUUUAUUUUUUUUGUGAAAACACAAACAACACAAUUUUUUUUUUGAAAACACAAACAACAACUACCAUGCAACUAUCUACUAUGCACAAUUAUGUAAACUCUCUACUAUGCUCUACUAUGAAAACUAGGUAUGUUAUGCGAAAGGAAUGUCUCCCAACUUAAAUGAGGCAAUGCCCUCAUUACAAAAAGAUAAAGAAUUAUAGAAUACGAAGCACUACCUUGAUUGGUCAAGCAUCAGGCUCGACCGGUGGCUCCUCGACGGGCUUCAGUGGGGGGUAGACUGGUAAUGGUUGUUACACAAGGAACUGAAAAGGCUAAGUAUUAGGGUCCAGGCGUGCCAUUCUUUCCAUUAACACGACAUUAAAGUUGUUCUGAGUAGCAAAUAUGUGAUCCUGUCGUGCCGCUAAACGCUAAAAUUGUUUAUCCUCUAGUCUAUUCCUUUCAUCGAGAUAUUGCUGGAGACUGCGAAAUUGAAUGCUGAAGGUGGCUUUUGUGCGGGCUAUGUUGCAUGGUCUGACCUGAUCUUGGUCGUGGUCCUCCUCGUCGUCAAAAUUUGCAUCCUCUUCUUCAUCGUCAUCUUCUGAAUCAGAAGAGAGGGUAAACCCAAGACCUCGUGGAUGAGAUUUCCCACCUUCCCAAACCGAAUAACGCUGAAUCAUCUUGUAGUCCAGAAGUUGUAACGGUUUCUAGACGGGCUCAUCUGAUUUCCAUUUCACCCCUUCCCUUUCACAUAACGCACAAAUGAGAGAAGUAUAAGUUAAUCCAUCUUGGAGAGGACCCCGUAGAUUUUGGCGAAUGGAAUGAUGAAUUAUUCAGCCCACAUCUAUCGAGCGAUCCUUGAUGAUAGUGUAUAAUAGCACAACCUUCUCCUUUGGAACAUCGCUGGUGUGUUGAGAGGGCAACAGUUUGGCAAACAAGAAGGAGUACCAUAUCUUUCCAUACAGACUGAGAUCCUUACUUUUAAAGUGAGACCCAUUCGAGGACCAUGUAGAGUCAGGCUUUCAUAACUCACUUAGUAUUUGGUCAUAAUUUGAGCCAUUUUCAUUAUACUUUGAAUAUGAACAACUUAAUUGGGAGGGAAGAUUGUAAAAGUCAUUUAUUUCUUGCAUUUUGAAUGACACCAUCUUACCCCUUACGAAUGCAAAAACUAGUGAUUUGUCAGUGGCAUUCGCAUAAAAUUGUUUCAUUACCACCACCACUGUGGCAUCCGGCUGUGCAGUGAAUGUUUCCCAUCUUCUCUCUCAAAUUUGGUGGACCAUAGCCCCGUCAAACUCAUUAGGGCUUAGUCCAUGCCCCAGCGUAAGGGAUUUGGAGGCUAGGUAUUUGAAUCUGAAAGAAGGUGAUUUUCCGUGUCCAUUACGUUAACAAAGGUCGGUAAUAUAUAUCUAUUAAAAGAGAGAAUCUAGGCACUAAUUAAGGUAACAAAUUUUACACCUAAUAUACAUAAAAGAUAAUUAAAGAUUAUUGCUAUAUUUACAUACAUGUUAUCACACCCCCGAAGUCGAAGCGGGAGGUUUUCGUACGCUGAGACUGUCCCAAAAAUAUUCAAAUAGAACCAAUGGAAGACCUUUUGUAAAAAUAUCGACAAUUUAAUAGCGCGAUGAGACAUGUAAGAUGCAUACUUGUCCACGAGCAACCUUUUUGCGGACAAAGUGAAUAUCCAUCUCAAUAUGUUUAGUGCGCUGAUGUUGAACAAGAUUCCAGGAGAGAUAUAUUGCACUAACAUUAUCACAGUAGACCAAUGUAGCCUUCUGAAUAGGACAAUGAAGUUCCAGAAGAAGGUUUCGUAACCAACAAGACUAAGAAACCACAUUGGUGAUCGCUCGGUAUUCGUCCUCUACACUAGAUCGAGACAAAGUAGUCUGUCGUUUCGAUGACCAAGAGAUCAAAUUAUCACCAAGAAAUACACUAACCAGAUGUCGAGCGUCUGGUAUCUGGACACCCACCCCAAUCAGCGUCUGCGUAGGAAACUAGAGUGGUUGUCGAAGAUGGAUAUAGAUGCAAGCCAUGGUCUAGAGUGCCCUGAAUAGAGCGAAAAAUACGCUUUAGAGCAUGCAUGUGUUCCUCCAAUGGGUUAUGCAUGAAUAAAAAAAAUAUGUUGGACAACAUAAGAUAUGUCAGGUCUUGUGAAAGUGAGAUAUUGCAGGGCUCCUAUAAGAUUGCGAUACUGUGAUGGAUCAUCAUAUGGUAUGCUAGAAGUAGCACUUAGCUUCGGUUUAGUAUCAAUCGGUGUGGGACUGAGCUUACAAGAUGACAUGCCAGCCCGUUCUAUGAUCUCUUAAGCAUACUUCCUUUGAGAUAAAAAUAGACUACCUGUAUGACGAGUUACAUCUAUCCCCAAGAAAUAACUCAGUGGCCCCAAAUCUUUCAUAGCAAAUUCUGAGCCGCAUCAGUACCUUUACAGAAGAAUUAUCAUCCACAUACAAAAGAAUGUAAGCCAUAUCAGUACCUUUACAAUAGAUGAAGAGAGAAUGAUCAGACUUGCUGUGAGAGAAUCCAAUAAUAGAAACAUAAUCCGCAAACCUUUUGUACCAGGCCCGUGGAGCUUGCUUGAGCCCAUACAAAGACUUCUUCAGCAAACAAACAUGGUCAAGAUGUGUUGGGUCUCGAAAACCCAUUGGUUGAUGCAUGUAUACAGUUUUCUUAAGUUCUCCAUGUAAGAAAGCAUUCUUCACAUCAAGCUGGUGAAUAGGCCAUGCUUUAGAGAGAGCUAAACUGAGAAGAGUGCGUAUAUUUGUCGGUUUAACUACCGGGCUAAAAGUCUUGCCACAAUCCAUGCCAACCUGUUGAGUUUUUCCAUCACCUACAAGUCCGACUUUAUACCUCUCAAAAGAAUCGUCAUAUUUUUCCUUAUGUCUGAAAAUCCACAUAGAAAGAAUUACAUUAACAUCAAGUGGAUGGGGCACCAAAUCCCACGUCUUAUUUUUAAUAAGAGCAUUAUAUUCAUCAUCUAUAGCCAAUUUCCAAUUCGGGUCAUGAAGGGCAGACACGGGGUUACGAGGUAGAGGUGAUUUAGUAAUAUGGGUAAGAAAAUUGUACUUUUUGUUGGGCUUAAAAAUCCCAUGUUAACUCCUAGUAAAUGGUAUGUGGCCUGGAAUGGGGGGAGGUUUGAUGGAGACAUGUGGCUCAGCAGCAGGGCUUGGAAAAGAAAGUGGUUCGGUGUGCGUUGGGUUGCUAGGUGUUGGACCCGGAGGACUCAUUUAACGAGCUGGGUUGCUGGUGGCUGGGUGAGGGUGAGCAGGAGAAGUAGGCGAGUUGGGUAUUGUCUGGCUUGGGCUACUUUGUGAGGCCAAAUGAUGGACUACAUGAGGAGAUAAACCAUCCUCCAAAAAAUUGUAUGUGUGAGUUGAUGUAGUAUGCACUUUAGCAAAAGGGAAUUGGGUCUCAUCGAAAAUGACGUGGAGACUUAUUAUGAUUUUAUUUGAGGAUAAAUCAUAGCAUUUGUAGCCACGAUGAUGAGAUGGAUAACCCAAAUAGACACACAGGGUAGAGCGGGCUUGUAACUUGUUAAUUGUAGUAGAUGGGAAAAGAGAGUAGCACAAGCAACCGAACACCCUAAGAUGAGAAUAGGAUGGAUCUUUUUGAUAGAGAAUUUUGAGAGGGGAUUGAUAGACUAAUUGUUUACUUGGAAGGAUGUUGAGAAGGUAGGUUGCCAUUUGUAAUGCAUGAUGCCAAAAUGAUGGUGGUAAGGAAGCAUGGGCAAGUAAAGUGCGAACAAUGUUGUUAACGGUUCAAAUUUUUCUUUCGGCUUUUCCAUUUUGUGAUGAAGUAUGAGGACAAGAAAGAUGAAAAGACAAACCAUUAGCUUUACAAAAUUCCCAAAAUGGCCAAUUAUCAAAUUCCCUACCAUUAUCACAUUGAAUGUUCUUUAUUUCCCGUUCAAAUUGAGUGCGGAUGAAUGCUCUAAAUGUUAUGAAAGUGGAAAAAGCUUGAGACUUUUUAGACAGGGGAAACAUCCACAAAAAAAUAGAGUAAUCAUCCAACAAGAGGAUAAAAUAUAUAUGGCCCGAAGAGCUCAAAACGGAAGAUGUUCAAAGAUCACUAUGGAUAAUAUCAAAUGGCAUAAAAGUGCAUGAAGUAGACACAACAAAAGGCAAUUUAACAUGUUUUCCAAGUGAGAAAGAAUGAAAAACAUAAGAACUAUAAGUUCCAUUACAUUAAAUAAAUUUAUUUAGCCUAAGAGAUUCAAAAACAGGUGCUCCCGAAUGACCCAAACAUUCAUGCAUAAAGACGGUGCUAAAGAUGCAAAAGUUGAAGGUGAGGUGGCUUGAUUUGUGGUGAUGGUGGUGGUGAUGGGAUAAAGCUCGCCCCGACUACCUCAUUAGACACAUCCCCAUCUAAAAGUCCUUCACAGAAAACCCAAAAGGAUCAAAUUCAACAGAAACUGAGUUAUCAGUAGCAAACUUCUGAAUUGAACCUAAGUUUUUAACAAGUUGAGGAGCAUGAAUGACAUUCUUUAAGGAUAAAGGUGGGUUUGGGGGAGAUAAGUUUGUAUGACCAUAACCAUGAAUUGGAAUUGAAUAACCAUUUUCGACAAUUAUACCACGAUUAUUUCUCAAAUUAAAUUAAGACGAGAGAUUACCUUGUGCGGAUGUCAUAUGAGAGGUGGCUUCAGUAUCCAUGUACCAGUUUGCAUCCAGAGGAGAGAGCCCAAGUGUGUGCAUCGCGACCUCGAUGUUGGUUGGAGGAGGUUGUGCUACGGUAAAAUAUGCUUGCUGAGGGCGUGGGCCUCCAGCCUGCGUCUGCUGAGUCAUGGGCCUGGCCCAAGGAGCUGUUGGGUAAGGACAAGGAGGAAUGGCCCAUGGCAUGAAAGAACAUGGCCACUGCCGGUCCAAGGCUGCCACUAUUGCUGCAGGCUGGGUCGCUGCUGAUCCUCGUCGUAGCUACCACCGUUGCCACUGUCGGUCCGGCCGCCACAGCGGCCAUCGCCACGAUUUUUACCGCCUUUGUGGCGGUUUUGACCCUUUUUACCACCACCGUUGAGACGGUUUUGAGGGUAAUUGUCAGAGGAUGAAUUAUCAUCGGACUCUCUUGCAAUCAUGGCGGCAUUCGAACUCGUAGUGACCUAUUUUUCUAAGCCCGCCUCUUCAAGAGUGAGCAUGGAUCGAGCUUGAUAGAAGGGUGGAAAGGGAUUUCUUUGACGAAUAAGUGUUCCCACCCCCCUAUAUGCUUCGGUGAGGCCAGCUACCAUUUGAAGGAUGAGGCGGUUGUUUGAGACCGGAGCUCCUACGUUCUUGAGUUGAUCUGACAAAAUCUUGAGCCUUUGACAAUAUGCGGAGGCAUUAGGGAAAUCCUCCAUGUUUUUGUGAGAGAAUUCUUGCUCAAGAGUCACGACACGUGAAUUUUUGUUGUCUUGGAAUAUAUCACGCAACCGAUUCUAAGCAUCCAUUGUCGUUGAGUCGGGUUCAAGAAUCGUAUGCAAUAAGUCAUUCGAGAUUGUUGCAUAAAUCCAUUGGAGGACCAUAGCAUCAAGGGUCGACCAAAGUUCUUUCUCAUCGUCAGUUGUAGGCACUUUUUCUUUGCCUUCGUCCUGUGGAAUGAUAUGGUUGAUGACCCGGUGAGAGCGUGCGUGAAUUUUGAAGAGUUCCGUCCACGUCGCAUAUUGGAUGUUUUCCAACUCAAGAGUAAUGGAGAUAUGGUUCUUAAUGUUAGAGACAUCAAAAGUCGGGUGGAAUAAGGAUUUGGAGUUAGGUAUGGUGGCUGACGGAAAGAUAUUGACGACGAGAAGUAAAUGGUUGGCAAAACACCAGGGCGCGGCGAAAAAAAGGAUGGAAGAGAAGAGGAUUGUGCCCUAGGGCUUUGAUACCAUGAAAGAAGGUGAUUUUCCGUGUCCAUUAUGUUAACAAAGGCCAAUAAUAUAUAUCUGUUACAAGAGAGAAUCUAGGCCCUAAUUAAGGUAACAAAUUAUACACCUAACAUACACAAAAGAUAAUUAAAGAUUAUUGCUAUAUUUACAUAUAUGCUAUCAGAAUCUGUUCGCCGCCUCCGUAUUUAAGAAUUUUCGUCUAUCAAAUUGCCGGACGGGAGUGGAGGAACCCUCACCUCGCUACCUUUUGGUUGCCUUUAGUGCCAUUAGAUGAGAACUAAAUUAUUGAACCCAACUUGUUUUAAUGAAAGUUCCCUGAUGUUUGGUACCCACUCACUUUGUUUCGAUGUUCGUUUAGGCUCUGUAUCCAACACUUGGUGGCAGGUGAAAUAUUGUAAUCGAAUUUACCAACUGCAUAAGCUGUGUCUAUCAACUAAACUGUUUCCCCAAAACAGCCUAAAUGGUUGGUGAGACAAUUUGUCGAACACUAAGUGUGCAGAGACAAGUUCUUCACAAAUCCCCCCAACUUAGUGUAGGAUUCAACCAACUACCAGUCAAUAUAGUCAAUAAAUGUAGAUAUCUCCAAAAGUUAAGUACAAUGUGCACCAAUGAUACUACGUUUACCAAUUGACCAAAUACAAAAUUGCAAAUUGGAAGAAGUUCACAACCACCCAGUAAAAGUAUGCUUACCCAGUUGAAUGAUGAAUUGGAAAUCAACUACUGUUACUGUUGUUGUUUACUUGUAUUCAACCCUUCGUUACGGUGUGUAUGUUUGCAAUUUCGCUCAUUAAUGACCAACAUAUGAGAUGCUCAUGUUACCGUGUGUUUGUUGUGCAUGCGAUUUUUGGAAGAAAUUUGAGAUAGAUAUGGUGACAAUUUGAUGAGACAAGGUUGGGGGAAAUUUUUCAAAAGUUAGGGCUCUAUUUCGUGUGUUUUAAAUGAAGAGGAGUGUUAUGAAGUUGGCUGAAGGAGGGAUUUUAAAAACUAAAAAUUAUAUUUCUUGUUAGGGCGAAGAUUUUUGUUCAGCAAACUUCGCCGGGGCUAGAUCUGGCAAAGACUUUGCGACGGGGCGAGUUAUUUUUCCUUGUAAAACUGAGUAGGGGUGAGAUCUGGCAGAGACUUUGUGUCGGGCGCAAUUUCCAUUAUUAAAUUCUUCGCCGGGGAGCAAGUCUGGUUUUUUGGAAAAAAAAUUCUUUCACUUGCUGCUCAUCUCGACUGUUCAGAGAACUUAUCACCCCCNNNNNNNNNNNNNNNNNNNNNNNNNNNNNNNNNNNNNNNNNNNNNNNNNNNNNNNNNNNNNNNNNNNNNNNNNNNNNNNNNNNNNNNNNNNNNNNNNNNNCCCCAUUUACUUCAUCCUCAUGUUUCCCAAUGUGCGUUGCCCUCUGAAUACAUGAGAUGGUCCACAUUAACAUGGAUUAGAUCAAGCAAUUUGGAGAUUGUUCAUGAAAAUUUAUAAAGCAAAUAAAUCCUAGAAAUUGAGAUCCUAAACUAACUGUAACUAUCUAACUGUAAGCAAAUAAAUACAGAAAUUUCUGGGUUGCCUCCCAGUUAGCGCUUGAUUUAAAGUCUUUCAGCCUAAUUACUCUUUGUUUCAUCCUGGAUCGACGAGGUCAAUCGAGGUGUUCUGGCGAUCGAAGUCACAACCCCAAUAGUUCUUUAAGCAUUGUCCAUUGACUUUGAAUGUUUUCACCGAAUUUCGGCUAAAUAAUUCAAUAACGCCGUGCAAAAAUACUGUUUUGACUAUGAAUGGGCCCGACCAUCUAGAUUUAAGUUUCCCAGGGAAGAGUUUCAAUCGGGAGUUGAAUAAUAACAGUAUUGCUUGGCCCGGUUUGAAGUUUUUGUCCAAAAUUUUCUGAUCGUGCCACCUGUUUGAUGACCAGAACAGUAUUGCUUGUCAGUGUUCUUGAGCUCAAGAACACCUAAGACGACAGAAAGUGUUGCUAAAGGGCUAUAGCGAUGGUUUUUAAUAUUUUUAUUUUCUGAUUUUCUGAAAAUUAAUUAAAAAUAGAAAUAAAUUAUAAAAAUUUCCAAAAAUGGUUUUAAAAAUUAUUUUAAAUUAUGAAAAAUAACUUUUGAUUAAUUGGGAUAUUUUUUAUUAAUAUUUAUAAUUAUUUGAAUAUUAAUGAUAUUUAAUAUAAAUUAGAGAAAAAUGAUUUUAAAAUUAUAAAAAUCAUUUUAAAUAAGAACAAAGUGUUUAAAAAUAUUUUGAGUUAUAAAAUGUAACUUUUAAUAUUUCUAGAGAAAUUUUCAUUAAUAAUCUAAUAUUAAUAAUACUAGAUUUAUUUAAAUAUUGUAUUAAAUAAAUAAGUUAAAAAUGAUUUUAAUGAUUUAAAAAUUAUUUUAAAUAAGAAUAAAGUGUUCAAAAAUAUUUUUAAUUAUAAAAUAUAAUUUUCAAUAUUUUUGGAGAAUUCUCAUUAAUAAAUUAAUAUUAAUGAUAUUAGGUUUAUUUAAUUAUUAUAUUAAAUAAAUGAUAGAAAAGUGGUUUUAUUGAUUAAAAAAUCAUUUAAAAUGAGAAAAGUGAUAUAAAAAUAUUUGAAGUUAUAAUUAAUGACUUUUAAUAUUUUGAUGAUAAAUUCAUUAAUAUUUAAAUAUUAAUGGUGAUGAUUUAAAAAUAUUUUAAGUUAUUAAUAAUAACUUUAAUAUUUUGACAAGUAUGUCAUUAAUAUUUUUAUAUUAUUAAAUAUUAAUGAUGAUAAGAUUAUUUGAUAAUUAAAUCAUUUAAAAAUGAUUUCAGUGUUUGAAAAAUUAUUAUAAAUUAUAAUAAUUGUUUAUAAAUUAUUAAAAGCAUCCGAAAAAUAUUAUAAAUGAUAUUUGACUUAUCUGAAUAAUAUUGAAGCUUAGAGACUAAGUUUAUUUGACAAAUACAAGUGUUAAUUGUUGGAUAGGGUGACUAGUACAUAGACUGAAGUCCAACCAGACCGAACUAGUUAGACUUAAUAAGUGUUUAUAUAGGUUAUAAACACUGAUGUGAGUAUGUGGUAAUAUGUCUAGGAGAAGUAUUGACUGUAAAUUACAGUAUUGUGUGUUGUGAAUUAUUGUGCUAAUUGUAAGACCGAUAUGGUGAUUAUAGGUCUUUCAAACGCAAAUAAGUAUAUUGUGUAGCAGUAAUCAACGCGAAAGGCAAGUUUCUUUAACUCACCCUUGAGUUACAUCUGUUUAAUUACUAUGGUGGUUAAUUAUUAUUGAUUAGACCACGUCCAAGAAUUUAUUGUUGAUUAUUCGCAGUUAGUGCAUGUUUAUUAAUUCAAAUUGAAUUAGUGAUUCUGAGAAUAUAUAUUUGUCAAAUAAUUGUUAUUGGAUAUUCACAUCCGUAGAAUCUAUUAGUAAAUGUAAAUAGUACAGAUAAUUUCUGUCUAUUGUUGAAUCGUGUUGAGAAAUGUCUUAGCCAAUUGAUCUGGCUGGACGAAUACUUGUUAGAACUUGAUAGGUUCAAGAAGAGAAGAGAAGAGAAUUCAAUUAUUAUUGAUAAAUCGAUGCCAAUUGUUUUGGCUAGAUCGAAAAAGAAAACUUGAUAAGUUUGAGAAGAUAAGAGAAGAGAAGAGAUUAAAUAUUGAAAUCAUCGUAUUUCGUUGUUAAAUCAAAUACUGAUUCAAAGACUGAGAAGAACAACCUUUUAUAUAAAGGGAACAUUUUUGGUCGUAUAUUCGGCCUUUGCGCGCGUGUAAGUAUUAUGCAUAAUAUAAGGUAUAAUAAAGUUAAUCACUUGUUAUAAUUGCAGAGGGGUAUGAUUUAAUCUUUAUGGUUGUCUGAUACACCUGCGUAUAUAUCAAAGUAAAACUUUGAUAGAUACCCGAGAAGAGAAGUUCUAGAUCCUUUGUGAUCACUCAGCAUAAAUCUGGAAAACAUUCCACUUUGUUAUUGCAUAGAAUUGAUUCUUGUUUAUUCAUUAGAAUAUCGUAGAAACUUUGAAAGCGUUGUACUCUUUCAUUAUCAGAUUAUUGUGUUGCAUAAAAUGCGAAAAGACGUGUUAGUUAUUAAAGCCUUGUUCAGCUAUUUCAAAGUUCCCCGAACUUUGGAGUUAUUCUAUCAAAUUAGAUAGUCUGUUCUUAUUGAUUCUUAUACAUUUAUUGUAUGUCUUAACUUGCGGGGCAAACUUGUUGCUCACCCUUGCUAAAUAACAUAUUUCAGCUAGGAACGAAGAGGCCAGCGGGGCUAAGAAGAACAAAGGCAAAGGCAUAGUGCUGGAGUAGUUUUAUAUUAAGCAUAUUUAUUAUGUUGUUAUGUAAACCCUUUUUGUAUAUCUAAAGGUUAUGUUUGUAAUGUUAAGGUUAGAUGACCUAGGACUAAUGUAUUAACAAUAUCUGUUAAUGAGUUAUGUAUUACUAUUGAUAAAUAAUGGGUAGUUAGAUGUUAUUAUAUUGUGGAUCGUGAGCACCAAACUCGGGGGUCAGGUAACCCGGAUUUGGGGGUGUCACAGGUUGGUAUCAAAGGUGUAGGUUAUAAACCUUAAGUGGGUGGGGAAAACCCUAGGAUUAUAACCAUAAGCAAAAUCUAGAAUACUCAUUUAGAGUACUAAGUGAGGGAUUGUCGAAGCGUAUCGAUAGUGAGAUAUGUGGACACCUAGUGUGAGAAGUUCGUACUGGAGAAGUACUAAUCAAGUUAUUAAACUGAGUAUGAUGUCUGGAGAAGAUGAAAUGAGUACAGAAGUGCUAGCGGCGGUGCACCAGUGCCAGUAGUCGAGGUGCCAGCGCAAAGCGAGUCAGUUGAAGAGGUGAGAAAAGAUGAACCUAUGAUCCAUCUGGGGAGUGAUCAUGAUGAUUAUCCCGAGAUGUAUCUGAGUGGUAAUGAGGAGGAUGAGACCGAAGAAUCUAAGGUGAAGAAAGGGAAUAAGACUUAAAUUGGAGAGAAAGAUCAAGAAUCUGCAGAAGGUCAAGAACUCUGGAGUAAAGUAUUUCUCUUGGAGGAGUUGUGGAAGACGGAGCGAGUGUUACGCGAAAUGACUGAAGAAAGGAACGAGUUGAAGGCGCAGCUGGAAAGGAUGAAGACUGAAGGUGGUGGAUCGUCGGAAGGAACAGUCAAGCAGAAGGGCAAGAAUAAGAGAAAGAGGGAUCACGACAGUGAUAGUUCUGAAAAUUCAAACCUGAAGAAGAAGCAAGUCUGUAGCGAGUGUGGAAAGACUCACGUGGGGAGAAUGCAUGAUGUGGGAGAAUGCAUGAUGUUGAAGAAUGUGCGCUUCAAUUGUAAGCAGGAAGGACAUAUUUCCCUACAUUGUCCUAAGCCGAAUAUGAGGAAGUGUUUUUCAUGUGGGAGAACGGGUCACAGAUUCAACAAGUGUUCAAACAAAAAGAAGAUUGGUGAAGGGAGUGGACGGUAGACAGCUUAAGUUAAGCGAUAAUAUCUUUUGAUAGUUUGUGAUAUUAACGAUUGUGAUAUCGAGAACUAUGUGUGAACAUAUGUAAAUAUAUAUGUUUGUGUGAAUGAAAUCUUUAUUUUCUAUAUGAAUAUAAGAUUAAGGUUAAUUUGUGAGUUCUUAAAACUCAUACUUAUGGUAAGUUCAUGACUCAGAAUUAUAUGAAAUGUUUUGAACCCCUCAGCGAAUGGACGCCAAAGGUCUGACUAGGAUAAGUUCAUAAACUCAUAUAAUUGUGGCAAGUUUGAACUUAUAAGUGUGGUAAGUUUGACGAACUGGGAAUAGUUAUGUGUGAAUGGAGAAUUACAACUUUUGUUUAAAGUUGUGUUGUUAAUCCCGAUAUUAUUUAAAAAGGGAUAGUGCUAUGUGUUAAGUGCUAAAUGUACUGUGUGCUAUUUGAAUAAAUAUGCGAUUAGAUGAGAAUUUUUUUUAAAAUUCUUAUUGUGUUAUUAAUAAGAAUUUGUAUAGAGAAGGAGAAUUAAUGUAAGAUUUUAAUCAGAUAAUGCCGCCAAGGAAGGGAGGUCUAAAGGGAAAUAUGGAAGAACAAAUUUUGAAUCUGAAGCAGAAAAAAAUGACAGUGACAUAAUAUUUUGUCAAGUUCAACGAGUUAGCUAAAUUUGCUCCACAUCGAGUGGACACUGAGGAGCUUAAAGCACGAUGUUUUAGGAACAGAUUGAAAUCAUUGGUACUCAAGAAGUUAGAUGUGCUGCAAAUUAAUUCAUUUUCAACUUUAUUAGAAAAAGCCAUUAUCGCUGAGGGAGAAAUUGAAGCUGUAUUAAAGAAUAGUCAAGAACAAAGAAAGGAGGCUGAAGGAAAUAAUAUGAUAGGUGGUAGUGGAGGUAGUGUUCUUAAUAAACGUAAGAGGGAUGGUGAUGUUAAUUCAGGAAAAAAUCCAGAAGAUAUUAGGAAGAAAGGUGCGCCGUGUGCAGUUUGCGGGAAGCAUCAUCAAGGAGUUUGUUUGAAGAAACAAAGAGUCUAUUAUAACUGUCGCCAAAAGGGACACGUGUCUCCCGAGUGUCCCAUUCCAAAGAAAACACAAGGUUGUUUUGCGUGUGGAUCGACCGAUCACCUGGUUCGGAAUUGUCCGAAAAGGAAUAAGGAGAAGUGGAGUGCCAACAAGGGACCCGGUAGCGAAACCUUGGCGAUUAAAGAAUCAGCUCAGCAGGGAAGACCAACAUCAUACACUUUUAGCAUGACAGUUCCAAAUGCAGCAGCUGUCCAUGAAAAGGUGACAGGUAACGAGUUCGGUUAGAAAUUAAAUUACGCGAGAAAUACGAGUUAGAUAUUGCUGUGAAUUGUUUUCUUUUAUAGAUCCAAGUCACAAGUUAGAAUUUGAGACACAGAUUAAUAUUGUGUUGAUAAGAAUGAAUUGAUGAUACAACUUUAAAAGAUUGGAGAGAAUAAGAAAGUGGUGAUACCGAGGACGGAAUCCUUUUAAGGGGGUGAAUGUGAUAACCCGGGAUUUCGAAUAAUCCAAAUUUUUUGAAUAAUUUUUUUUUAAUAUUAAUAUUGACUGAUAAUAUUGUGUUGUGUAUCUGUGAUACGAGUUUUGAGAAUUAGUCAAUUUAUGUAUUGACUGAGAAAUAAGAGUAGAAUUGUGCUUAACAGCUUUAGAAACCCUAACCCUAAUUCUGGAAAGGGAAUACGAUAGAAAAUACAAUUAAAAUUAUUGUAUUGAUGAUUACGUGUUUAGAAUUUUUGAUCAAUGAUUGAUCGGAUAAGGGUUUUAAAUUAGUAAACCCUAAUAAGGGAUUAGAAACCCUAAUCUCAGAUCUAGAAACCCUAACGCACGUUAGGAACCUUAAGCAAAAGUCGGGAAACCCUAAUUUUAAAAUUCAGGAAUCCUAAACCCUAAUUAGGGAACCCUAAUUAUAUUUUUAAAAUCUUAAUCUUCUAUUUUAAAACCUAAAUAAAAAAUCCUAGAAAUUUAAAGUUGUAAAACCUAAGGGUUUGGACAAAUGUCAAGUAUGCCAUUAAAAUUAUAUUGCAAUUAUCCAAAUUGCCCUUUUUGGAUUUCUUUAAUAAGUUACUUGUGAAUCUUGCUAAAAUUGUAGUUGUUCACCAACUAUUGUUGACAUUGUGAUUCAAAUCUCAGCAUAUCAGCCUCUUAUUGACAGCUAGAUCAACAACAUACAAUGUAUCUAAGUAAUAUAUAUAGAUUUGAGAGAGAGAAAAUCACAAAUAUUAAUCAUUUUGCUAUCAAUCUCUCACCAACUCUUUUUCUCUCUAACCCUCCAAAAUUAUCAAGUAUCUCAGCCCCUAACACAGCUCUUAGAUCACUAAGAUCAGUUAAGGAAAGCAAGAAUCAAAGGUUAAGCUAGAAGGUAUAAAACCCUACCUCACUUUGAUCUUGUAUGCUUUGUCAAAAUUCAUGUUUAUGUGUUUAGAAUCGUGUUGAAGGAUGUUUUAUGAUGAUCUAUGAUGAUCCAUCAUGGACCCAUAGCAUCAAAGACCUUAAAAAUUAAGUUUUUUAAAAACUGUUCUUGAACCCUAAAGUUGUCUGACAAGCUAAUGUCAGUCGCACUAGAUCUUUCUGUGUUUAUGAUUUUUGUUGUUUUACGUGUUAGAUCCAUAGUUUGAUAUGUGGUUUUUGUUAUGCAAGUUAAAUAACAGUCAUUGGAUGUCUAUAUUGAAAGUUAUAAUCGGUCAAAACCCGUUGACCAUGCAUGACCAGACGAAUUCUGGGUAACCCAGAAACUCGUUUCCAGCAUCUGACAAGAUUUUUCAACGCCUUGAUCUGUCAGAUGUUAGUUGAUAUUGUGACGCCCCCAAAACAGGUAUACAUCACCCAUCUUGAGUCGCCAAAUAUAUGGUACAUAAAUCAAAUACAAACUUAAUUAUACAACUUUCGUGUAAAAUACGAUAAAACAUAAUCUAAGAGUUUCAAUAAGAAUAUUGUCAUCUAGACAAUAUCCACACUCAAUGGAGUCCUCAUUACAUUUAUUGUCACACUAUUUUAUAGAAUAGUGAGAACUACUAAAACAACCAUCUGGACCGUCAAUCCGUUCCCUGACUCGUCCCAGCUAUAUUCUCAUUUCCUGAAGAGAACCGUGAAAGAAAGGGUGAGCUCAACUAGCCUAGUAAGAAAUAUUAUGACUAAGAUAAUGCAGAAUAAAUUAUCAUUAGCCUUCAAUAGUAUAACAACUGAUAGAAUAUAAUAGACAACAAGUUUUAGAUCAACAACUACAGCGGAAUAAGCAAUCCAUUAGAAGAGUCAAGUAGAGCAUAAAAUCUACUAUCUUCUAUGAUUUAAAAAUUAUUUUUCAUCAACUUUAUCGCUGAGACUCAGCUUAAUAAAUAAACCACAUCAUCGAAGCAUCCCUGCACCACGACCAAGGAUAUUCAUGUAAUCAUCAAUGGUCAUGAUUAUACCGAAUAAUCCCUGGUCAUAAUCAUACCAACAACUGUCCAUCAAUGAACUAUAGGCCAAUGAGGACUUUUACCACAUCAUUCGUUACAUUACGGUAAUGAUUAUAUCGAAUAAUCCCUUGUCAUAAUCAUACCAAGUCCAUCUAUGCACGUAAGCCAAAGAUGACUUUCAUCACAAUAUAAGCAUGAGGAUGAUGACAAUAACAUAAUAAUUCAAUAAAAAAAGUUCAAGGAUAAAUUUUAAAGAUUUAUAAUUUAAUUUAUCCAGAAAUCAAUAACGUCCAAAUUGUCAACAUGAUACUGCUUUGUAGAGUAAAAUUCAAGAAUAAUAUUCAUGUACCAAAAAUAAUUUGGACAGAAAAGAAAUAUAUUUUUCGGGUGAAUAGUACCCUGGCACAAAAAGUGUCCCGAAUACCCGAGUGAAUGAUACUAGAGUGAAUAAUAACCCGUGAAUAGUAACUCAUGAAUAGUACUCCGGCACAAAAAGUGCCCCGAAUAUCCGAGUGAAUAAUACUAGAGUGAAUAGUAACCCAUGAAUAGUAACUCGUAAAAGAAAAAUACCAAAGAAAAUGAUAUUCCAUGACGAGUACAAAAGAAAUGAUAUCUCAUACGAGUAUAAUAGAAUAUACNNNNNNNNNNNNNNNNNNNNNNNNNNNNNNNNNNNNNNNNNNNNNNNNNNNNNNNNNNNNNNNNNNNNNNNNNNNNNNNNNNNNNNNNNNNNNNNNNNNNNNNNNNNNNNNNNNNNNNNNNNNNNNNNNNNNNNNNNNNNNNNNNNNNNNNNNNNNNNNNNNNNNNNNNNNNNNNNNNNNNNNNNNNNNNNNNNNNNNNNNNNNNNNNNNNNNNNNNNNNNNNNNNNNNNNNNNNNNNNNNNNNNNNNNNNNNNNNNNNNNNNNNNNNNNNNNNNNNNNNNNNNNNNNNNNNNNNNNNNNNNNNNNNNNNNNNNNNNNNNNNNNNNNNNNNNNNNNNNNNNNNNNNNNNNNNNNNNNNNNNNNNNNNNNNNNNNNNNNNNNNNNNNNNNNNNNNNNNNNNNNNNNNNNNNNNNNNNNNNNNNNNNNNNNNNNNNNNNNNNNNNNNNNNNNNNNNNNNNNNNNNNNNNNNNNNNNNNNNNNNNNNNNNNNNNNNNNNNNNNNNNNNNNNNNNNNNNNNNNNNNNNNNNNNNNNNNNNNNNNNNNNNNNNNNNNNNNNNNNNNNNNNNNNNNNNNNNNNNNNNNNNNNNNNNNNNNNNNNNNNNNNNNNNNNNNNNNNNNNNNNNNNNNNNNNNNNNNNNNNNNNNNNNNNNNNNNNNNNNNNNNNNNNNNNNNNNNNNNNNNNNNNNNNNNNNNNNNNNNNNNNNNNNNNNNNNNNNNNNNNNNNNNNNNNNNNNNNNAGAGAUAUGAUGCAGCAAUUACUGUAGCAAUAAUUGAGUAUAACUGAGUGACUUCUUACGUAAGCAUCAAUAAUCAAUACCGUGUGCUACUAUGCAACCACGCGUAUUACUGUACUUUUACUACCGGGUAGUUCAACAGUUUUAACGGUAACACUCACCAUUAUUUUUAUAAAAUGAUAAUUUUGUCGUUUUCUUACUACGACAAUACUUUCAUUGUGGGGUCCACCAAUGAUUGUGCCGUCGUACGGAUAUUCCCCGAUAAAAAGAAUAUUUUAUAACAACUUGUAUACUUUGCAAAAAUUUUCACAUAUCACCCUUAACUUUAACAUUUAUCAAUUUAACCAUUUACUAAAUAACAUAAUAAUUAUAAGAAAAUUGAAUACCUUUAUUUCAUAAAAUUCGGGGUCUUACAAUCUCCCCUCCUUAUGAAAUUUCGCCCUCGAAAUUUAAGUACGUACCUAGUAUGCCGAAGAGGUGAGGAUACCUUGACUUCAUUUCAGAUUCUAACUCUUGAGGUAUAACAUUUGAGUGUCGAAUAUAAUCCUUCUUAUCCAAGAUUUUAACACGUAUCUCCUCAUACGUUAAAUCUUCUGUUAUCUCGUCUAGUUCUAAUUCAAUAAUGUGGUUCGGGUCGUCCACAUAUUUAUGUAACAUCGAUACGUAAAAAAAACGUUAUGAACACGCGACAUACUUAGCGGUAAGGCGAGUUUAUAAACCACAGUUCCUACUCGAUCGAGGAUUUCAAAUGGGCCAACUAAAUCGAGGGUUGAGAUAACGCCUUUUUGAACCUUCUUCUUCACAUUCAUUAGAUUCGGGUGUGUAGCUUGAGCGACUUUAACUUUAUCGAUUAAAGUCGAUUUUACUCGUAUAUUCGUUAUCUUCACGUGGGUCCCUAGAGUCUUUAACUCUAUCUUCAUCAUUUGUAAGUUAUAGGAAAUGGGUUUUUGUGUUAACAAAGUCACACUCGUAACCGCAUACGAUCUUCUACUCAACGCGUCAGCUACCACAUUCGCUCAUCCACAAUGAUAUUGAAUGGUAUAGUCGUAAUCUUCAACAGCUCGAGCCAACAUCUUUGGCGCAUUAUAUGUUCGUUUUGGGUGAAGAAAUACUUGAUGGUUUUAGAAAUGGGUUUUGUACUGGGGUCAAUACAAAAUUUUAUUUCACGUUCUGGGGGUAGGCCAGGAAGUCUUUAGGAAUACGUCAGAAAAUUUAUUAACGAUAGAAAUAUCAUUUAAAAACUGUGACUCUCAUCCAAGACUUGGAUAGCACAUGAAAUGAAGGUUUCUCCUAACAGAGUUUCAACCGAUAAGUUAAAGUCUAAUUUCUUCGGCGUCAAAUUUAAACAUUGAGCACAAGCAAGAGAGAUAAAAGAAUGGGUAAAACUGGUAUCUAAUAAGGUAUAGACUUCGCAAGAAUUUAUAAUUAACUAACUCGUGCUAACUUCGUUCGGGUUACUCGCUUUUUGAAAAACCACGAAAAACGCUCUUCUUGAAACCACUGACUUUGUUUUGUCCGUAUCCGCCUUUGGUGCCACCGUCCCAGCUGGACUUAACUUUGGUGCACGACAAAAUCGGGCUAAGUGACCUUCUUUUCUACAAUUGUAACAUGAUUUGGAUUGCAUCAUGCAGUUUGGAUUGAUAUGUCCCUCCCCUCCGCAUUUGAAGCAUACAAUUGGUGGUCGUUCUCCUUCCUUGAAAACGGGUGUUGGUGCUGCUGUCUUUCCAUCGUUGUUGAACCUUCUCUUCUUGAAAUUUUCACUCCUAUUAUCUUGGUCAUGAUUACCACCGAAGUGGUUACCAUUCUUGGCAUGAUAAUUUUCCCCACGAUGGUUAUCAUUGUUCCAAUGGUCGUUGCCACCGGUACGAUUAUUAUUGUGUUGUUGUUCGUUAUCCUUUGGUUGGGCUGGCUCAUUAUCGCGCUCCAAUAACUGAGCCAUAUUCACUACAUCUGAAUACAAACACAAUUUGUGAGAAAUGAGGUAUUGACGUAUUUCGGGUUUCAAACCUCUUAAGAAACAUUCGCGUCAUUCGCUCCUCAUUAUCGACCAAAUGGGAUGCAAACCGGGAUAACUCCGCAAAUUUAGCCUCGUAUUGCGACAUGGUUAUAUUAUUUUGCUCCAACUUGAUAAACUCCACCUCCUUCAUGUGACGAAUACUUUCNNNNNNNNNNNNNNNNNNNNNNNNNNNNNNNNNNNNNNNNNNNNNNNNNNNNNNNNNNNNNNNNNNNNNNNNNNNNNNNNNNNNNNNNNNNNNNNNNNNNNNNNNNNNNNNNNNNNNNNNNNNNNNNNNNNNNNNNNNNNNNNNNNNNNNNNNNNNNNNNNNNNNNNNNNNNNNNNNNNNNNNNNNNNNNNNNNNNNNNNNNNNNNNNNNNNNNNNNNNNNNNNNNNNNNNNNNNNNNNNNNNNNNNNNNNNNNNNNNNNNNNNNNNNNNNNNNNNNNNNNNNNNNNNNNNNNNNNNNNNNNNNNNNNNNNNNNNNNNNNNNNNNNNNNNNNNNNNNNNNNNNNNNNNNNNNNNNNNNNNNNNNNNNNNNNNNNNNNNNNNNNNNNNNNNNNNNNNNNNNNNNNNNNNNNNNNNNNNNNNNNNNNNNNNNNNNNNNNNNNNNNNNNNNNNNNNNNNNNNNNNNNNNNNNNNNNNNNNNNNNNNNNNNNNNNNNNNNNNNNNNNNNNNNNNNNNNNNNNNNNNNNNNNNNNNNNNNNNNNNNNNNNNNNNNNNNNNNNNNNNNNNNNNNNNNNNNNNNNNNNNNNNNNNNNNNNNNNNNNNNNNNNNNNNNNNNNNNNNNNNNNNNNNNNNNNNNNNNNNNNNNNNNNNNNNNNNNNNNNNNNNNNNNNNNNNNNNNNNNNNNNNNNNNNNNNNNNNNNNNNNNNNNNNNNNNNNNNNNNNNNNNNNNNNNNNNNNNNNNNNNNNNNNNNNNNNNNNNNNNNNNNNNNNNNNNNNNNNNNNNNNNNNNNNNNNNNNNNNNNNNNNNNNNNNNNNNNNNNNNNNNNNNNNNNNNNNNNNNNNNNNNNNNNNNNNNNNNNNNNNNNNNNNNNNNNNNNNNNNNNNNNNNNNNNNNNNNNNNNNNNNNNNNNNNNNNNNNNNNNNNNNNNNNNNNNNNNNNNNNNNNNNNNNNNNNNNNNNNNNNNNNNNNNNNNNNNNNNNNNNNNNNNNNNNNNNNNNNNNNNNNNNNNNNNNNNNNNNNNNNNNNNNNNNNNNNNNNNNNNNNNNNNNNNNNNNNNNNNNNNNNNNNNNNNNNNNNNNNNNNNNNAAGUAGAGCAUAAAAUCUACUAUCUUCUAUGAUUUAAAAAGUUUUUCAUCAACUUUAUCACUGAGACUCAGCUUAAUAAAUUAACCACAUCAUCGAAGCAUCCCUACACCACGGCCAAGGAUAUUAAUGUAAUCAUCAAUGAUCAUGAUUAUACCGAAUAAUCCCUGGUCAUUAUCAUACCAAAAGCUGUCCAUCAAUGAACUACAGGCCAAUGAAGACUUUUACCACAUCAUUCGUUACAUUACGGUCAUGAUUAUACCGAAUAAUCCCUAGUCAUAAUCAUACCAAGUCCAUCUAUGUACGUAAGCGAAAGAUGACUUUCAUCACAAUAUAAGUAUGAGGAUGAUGACAAUGACAUAAUAAUUCAAUAAAACAAGUUCAAGGAUAAAUUUUAAAGAUUUAUAAUUUAAUUUAUCCAGAAAUCAAUAACGUCCAAAUUGUCAACAUGAUACUGCUUUGUAGAGUAAAAUUCAAGAAUAAUAUUCAUGUACCAAAAAUAAUUUGGACAUAAAAGAAAUAUAUUUUUCUGGUGAAUAGUACCCCGUGAAUAGUACCCCAACACGAAAAGUGUCCUGAAUACCCGAGUGAAUGAUACUAGAAUGAAUAGUAAUCGAAUGAAUAGUAACCUGUGAAUAGUAACUCGUGAAUAGUACUCCGGUACGAAAAGUGCCCCGAAUAUCCGGGUGAAUAAUACUAGAGUGAAUAGUAAUCGGGUGAAUAGUAAUCCAUGAAUAAUAACUCAUAAAAGAAAAAUACCAAAGAAAAUGAUAUUCCAUGACGAGUAUAAAAGAAAUGAUAUCUCAUACGAGUAUAAUAGAAUAUACGAAACUGCAAAUGGAUUUUGGAAGUCCGCGUAGACAGGUUAUUCCAACAGAAUAAUAAAGAAUGGAAUAACAGAAGAAUUCACCAGGCAUGCAAUAGACCGCACAGACAGGUUAUUCCAACAGAAUAAUAAAGAAUGGAAUAACAGAAGAAUUCACCAUGCAUGCGGUAGUCCGCGUAGACAGGUUAUUCCAACAGAAUAAAAAAGAAUGGAAUAACAGAAGAAUUCACCAUGCAUGCGGUAGUCCGCGUAGACAGGUUAUUCCAACAGAAUAAUAAAGAGUGGAAUAACAGCUCUUACGAGUAUUGAAAGAAAAUAACCCUCUUCAUGAAUACAAAAGAAAUAAUACCCCUUACCUUAGAAGAAAACUGGAUACUAGAAUAGUGAGGUAGCAGACUUCUCUUCUUCUUUCUCUCUAUAAUUUCUCUAUAAUAAUUGCUCUUGUGAGACUUAGUGAAUUGGUGAGAAAUGAAGGAAGAAUGAGCUUCUAUUUAUAGGAAAAUAUAGUUUCGAUAAUUGCACGUUUUGGGGCUCGAAAUAUUACAGUAUAAUACCUUCCUCUUUUUCUUCAUUUUUAAUUUAGUCCUGCAAGUAUUAUUAAACUUGCACCACCUCCCCUAAUAGUAAAUCAUGUGAAUUAAUAGUUCAUUUAUGUGACUCAAUAGUAUAAUCAUGUGAAAAAAGCUAAUUACAUUAUAGUACCUUCAACUAUACCUCCAUUUUUAAUUUAGUCAUGCAAGUAUUAUCAAUCUUGCACCAACUCCCCUAAUAGUAAAUNNNNNNNNNNNNNNNNNNNNNNNNNNNNNNNNNNNNNNNNNNNNNNNNNNNNNNNNNNNNNNNNNNNNNNNNNNNNNNNNNNNNNNNNNNNNNNNNNNNNGACAGAACUUCUAGACAUUGUCAAUAUUGCAAAUAAUAAUAUGAAUAACUUUGUCGUCUCAAUUAUUGAUUUAAUAAUAUAAAAUAUUGAUACUGUGACAAUAAUUGAAUCAAUAAUAUGAGAAAUAUGAUGCAGCAAUUACUGUAGCAAUAAUUGAGUAUAACUGAGUGACUUCUUACGUAAGCAUCAAUAAUCAAUAUCGUGUGCUACUAUGCAAACACGCGUAUUACUGUACUUUUACUACCGGGUAGUUCAAUAGUUUUAACGGUAACACUCACCGUUAUUUUUAUAAAAUGAUAAUUCUGUUGUUUUCUUACUACGAAUAUACUUCCGUUGUGGGCUCCACCAAUGAUUAUGCCGUCGUACGGAUAUUCCAGACAAAAAGAAUAUUUUAUAACAACUUGCAUACUUUGCAAAAAAAUUCGCAUAUCACCCUUAACUUUAACCUUUAUCAAUUUAACUAUUUACUAAAUAACAUAAUAAUUAUAAGAAAAUUGAAUACCUUUAUUUCAUAAAAUUCGGGGUCUUACAGAUAUUAUGUUGUUGUAACUAGAUUGUAGUGUAUUGUAUGGACUCUAGAUCCAUGCUUCUAGAUCCCUUAAACAACAAAUCUGUUGGACGUAGUGAAUGGUCAAAGUUGCCCAUCUGAUCACGAAGACACUUUUCUGGAAUUUCCAGAAAGUGUAUGAACAAGGUCUCCGACCAUGUUUGACCGGAUCAUAUCUGGUGAUUAUGUUGUAGUUGGACUGAAAUAGUGUUUUGUAAUUGUUCCUUGGUAUGAGUACUAGAGGUAUGAACCAAGAAUCCACAUGUUUAAUGACCAGAACAUGUAUAUAAUCGAGCUGGAAUAUGCCUACUCGAAUUGCCUGGGUUUUUGGAAAACCCAGGUAACGUCUGGCAGUAACUUUGAAGGAUCGUAUCUUGCUGAUGUGUUAUGGUAUGACAUAGAUGAUGGUUGAUUCGUGUAGUGUUACAUAAAACUACAUGAUCAAUGUUUAGCAUAGCCCAGAAACAGUUUGAGAUGAGAAUCAUAGCCGGUCAAACGAGCAACCUUGAACACUGACUUGUCAGUGUUCUUGAGCUCAAGAACACCUAAGACGACAGAAAGCCGCUAAAGGGCUAUAUUGACGAUUUUUAAUAUUUUUAUUUUCUGAUUUUUUGAAAAUUAAUUAUAAAUAGAAAUAAAUUAUAAAAAUUUCCAAAAAUGGUUUAAACAUUAUUUUAAAUUAUGAAAAAUAACUUUUGAUUAAUUGGGAUAUUUUUCAUUAAUAUUUAUAAUUAUUUGAAUAUUAAUGAUAUUUAAUUUAUUUAAUUAGUGUAUUAAAUAAAUUAGAGAAAAAUGAUUUAAUAUUAUAAAAAUCAUUUUAAAUAAGAAUAAAGUGUUUGAAAAUAUUUUGAGUUAUAAAAUGUAACUUUUAAUAUUUUUAGAGAAAUUUUCAUUAAUAAUAUUAGAUUUAUUUAAUUAUUAUAUUAAAUAAAUAAGUUAAAAAUGACUUUAAUGAUUUAAAAAUCAUUUUAAAUAAGAAUAAAGUGUUAAAAAAUAUUUUGAAUGAUAAAAUAUAAUUUUCAAUAUUUUUGGAGAAUUCUCAUUAAUAAAUUAAUAUUAAUGAUAUUAGGUUUAUUUAAUUAUUAUAUUAAAUAAAUGAUAGAAAAGUGGUUUUAUUGAUUUAAAAAUCAUUUAAAAAUGAGAAAAGUGAUAUAAAAAUAUUUGAAGUUAUAAUUAAUGACUUUUAAUAUUUAGAUGAUAAAUUCAUUAAUAUUUAAAUAUUAAUGGUGAUGAUUUAAAAAUGAUUUUAAUUACUUUAAAAAUCAUUUAAGUAGAAUAUUGAUGAUUUAAAAAUAUUUUAAGUUAUUAAUAAUAACUUUAAUAUUUUGACAAGUAUGUCAUUAAUAUUUUUAUAUUAUUAAAUAUUAAUGAUGAUAAGAUUAUUUGAUAAUUAAAUCAUUUAAAAAUGAUUUUAGUGUUUGAAAAAUUAUUAUAAAUUAAACAAUUAUUACAAACUUUCGAAAAAUAUUAUAAAUGAUAUUUGACUUAUCUAAAUAAUAUUGAAGCUUAGAGACCAAGUUUAUUUGACAAAUACAUAUGUUAAUUGUCGGAUAGGGUGACCAGUACACAGAGCGAAGUCCAACCAGACCGAACUAGUUAGACUUAAUAAGUGUUUAUAUAGGUUAUAAACACUGAUGUGACUGUGGUAAUGUAUCUAGGAGAAGUAUUGACUGUAAAUUAUAGUAUUGUGUGUUGUGAAUUAUUGUGCUAAUUGUAAGACCGAUAUUGUGAUUAUAGAUCUUUCAAAUGCAGAUAAGUAUAUUGUGUAGCAGUAAUCAACGCGGAAGGCAAGUUUCUUUAACUCACCAUUGAGUUACAUCUGUUUAAUUACUAUGGUGGUUAAUUAUUAUUGAUUAGACCACGUCUAAGAAUUUAUUGUUGAUUAUUCACAGUUAGUGCAUGUUUAUUAAUUCAAAUUGAAUUAGUGAUUCUGAGAAUAUAUAUUUGUCAAAUAAUUGUUAUUGGAUAUUCACAUCCGUAGAAUCUAUUAGUAAAUGUAAAUAGUACAGAUAAUUUCUGUCUAUUGUUGAAUCGUGUUGAGAAAUGUCUUAGCCAAUUGAUCUGGCUGGACAAAUAUUUGUUAGAACUUGAUAGGUUCAAGAAGAGAAGAGAAUAAAAUUCAAUUAUUAUUGAUAAAUCGAUGCCAAUUUUUUCGGCUAGAUCGAAAAAGAAAACUUGAUAAGUUUGAGAAGAUAAGAGAAGAGAAGAGAUUAAAUAUUGAAAUCAUCGUAUUUCGUUGUUAAAUCAAAUACUGAUUCAAAGACUGAGAAGAACAACCUUUUAUAUAAAGGGAAUAUUUUUGGUCGUAUAUUCGGUCUUUGCGCGCGUGUAAGUAUUAUGCAUAAUAUAGGGUAUAAUAAAGCUGAUCACUUGUUAUACUUGCAGAGGGGUAUGAUUUAAUCUUUAUGGUUAUCUGAUACACCUGCGUAUAUAUCAAAGUAAAACUUUGAUAAAUACCCGAGAAGAGAAGUUCUAGAUCCUUUGUAAUCACUCAGCAUAAACUUUGUUAUUGCAUAUAAUUGAUUCUUGUUUAUUCAUUAGAAUAUCGUAGAAACUUUGAAAGUGUUGUACUCUUUCAUUAUCGUAGAUUAUUGUGUUGUACACUUUUUCUGCAUUUUUAUGAAUAAUGUUUUAGCGUUUUUUUUUGGAAAAAAUUAUUUUCUCCCAAAAAGUUCUAACACUCAUACAUAAUUACGUAACACGUUACUAAGUCAUUAAUUGACCUUGAAACGCAUAACACAUAAUAAUAUACAUAAAAUUUUCUUUUAUUAGAUAUUUACAUCGAAACCUAAUCACAAGGCUAUCUGAUUUCUCGGGUUGUCACGAAAUCCAUAACGCUGAGAACAAUUUUCACUUGCUCUUUCCAAGCAGUAAAAUUAGUCCCAUUUAAGGCUACAAUUCCAUAAAGAUACCCAGAAAUACUAUUUGGACUCAAUACUGAAACAUAAUCGAGCUCGUAAGCAUACUUACAAAAAACUAAAACAAAUUCACAAUGUAUAAUAAUAAUAAUUAAUAAUUAAUCAUAAUAAAAUCAAUUGUAAGGCAAGUACGUAGUUAGUUACAUAAAAUCUAUUUACAACACCCACAGAUAGAUUUUAAUGAUAUGUUAGUGCAUAAUUAUAAAUCUUUCGUUGGUCCAAUUAAUAAUAUGUUAAUAACAUUCCCAUAAAAUAAUGCACAACACAUUUAUCCACACAUCACCGUUGAGCAUAAAUGAAAUAAAUAUGUUACUUAUGCAAUAAAAUUUCAUUUAAUACAUUCUAAUUUUAAUUUUUCCGUUGGGUAAAUAUUAAAAUCUUCAUUUAUUAAAUAUAACAUUAUGUGACUUUUCCUAGUAUUUAAUUGUUUAAUUAAUAACCCUCUGUUGGGCUGAUUAUUAAUUUUAACCUUAAAAGAGACACGUAUAUGCAAAUUUUUAUGAUCAAACUUUAUUUUCUUUAGAUAACAUAUUAAUCAAGUUUGAAAGUUAACAUUAUUUAUAAUUUACAUGUAGCAACUUAAAAACCUAAUAAUAUAUCAUGUUCCAAAAUCUACAUUAAGAUACAUAGUUAUGAAUAUGAAUUAAUUACAUAAUAUUCACAUAAAAUCUAAAUUUAAAAUAUAAUGACAUGAUAUAAAAUAAUAUUAUAUAAACAUAAUCAAAAAUUAAUCCAUAACCAUUAUUAACUGAUUCAACUCGCACAUAAGUUUAAUAAGUAUAGCAUAUGCAAUCUCCAUAAAUUGAUAUCAUAGGACAUAAAGAAACACUUUAAUAUCAUGAAUAUAGGAAUUGAGUGUUAGGUAAAAUCUAGGUACGCACAACAUGCAAGUAUACAUGGACAACAAGUAUUGAAGUGAUGAGUAGAGUAUCAUUCCCACGGUGAAAAUAACUGAAAUUUAUCCUAACAACUACCAAUUUUAUUAAACCAAUGAUCAAGUUUUUCAAAUUUAUAAAAACUACUAAUUUAAGAAAAAGUAACUAACUACCACAAUGUUUAAUCAAGAUUUUGGAGAAGUAAGCAUACAACUUCACUUAUUGCUUCACUUAGAAUGACACACUUCCUUUUAAUUUAAAUUAACUAUUCCAUAUUGUUAAUCAAGAACACAACAUCAGACAUAACCAUCUCUCAAUGCAUUAUACCCAUAUCAACUUAAAUCCAUAAUUGAUAAAAUUAAGAAGAACACCCUAAUUAAUUAAUUCAUUAUAUCUCUAUGUGAAUUACAAUUAAAGAAGGUUUAAGCACAAGUUUUUAUUAGAUUACGUGUGAUGCGUAGGUAUAUCUCUAUCCUAAGUAUAAAUUAUGAAUCCCACAAUCAUAUAAAAAUCACAAUCACACGCUACUAUGAUGAGAUCUAAACCCAUAUUCCAUCUCUCGAAUUCAUAUAGAUUAUCAAGUAAUUGGUGAUCAAGCAAUUAAAUAAUUAAGCAUAAACCAUAGUUGACAAAUCUGGAAAUAGUCUCACUGAAUUAAUAUAGAAGCAUGUAAAUCUUCGUUACACAAAAAGAUCCAUUGUAGACUUGAAUAAUAAAUUAGUUCAUGCUAGAUGAAUAAGAAACUAAAAUCCAUAGAGAGAAUAACAUUCUGAAAACAAGGAUAAUAGUGAAGAUGGAGAAUAAAACCUAUAAUGUCCACUGCUGCUCUUCAUCACGUUUGCCUUGAAUUCUUCGUCCUAGCUCUCCGUUUCAAUCCUCCAAUACGUGAUGUAGAACUAGGGUUUUGUUAAUGAUACUAAAUAUCCCCUCUUUGCCCCUCUAUCUCCUUUUUUUAUCUUUCCAAUCGCGCCCCCAAAAAUCUCUCAGUAACAAACCUCCAUAAUCAUAUCAGAAAAAGGAAACCGCAAGUCAACUACCGCGUAUCUCGCCCCAGCGUAGUUUACCCCUUAAGAGAUUCGCCCCGGCGAACUUGCGCCACGACGCGCUUUAUUAGCGUAGAAUCUGUGCCUCGGUGCACUUAUCCCAACAAGAGCUAAAAUUUCUCCUUUUAUACUGAUUAUGCUGUUAUCACCCGCACAACCUAUUCCUGCACAUAAAAAUGAAAACAAGUAAAAAUGCUACUAAAACCACUCAAAGUAGCAACGAAUCAAGUUAAGAAGGUAACCAAUUCGUAGGUAUAAAACCCACUCAUCAUUGAGUUCAUAAUACAUAAGAAGCACUUUAAUAUCAUGAAUACAACACAUUGAUAAGUAUAAUCAGGAUAAUACUUUACUUUCGAAAACUUCUUUUUGUAGCAACAAAAUACUUGGUAACGAAAAGUAAGUAUUCAUGAAUCAUAUGACGUAAAAGAAUAUAAGAUGUAAUUUAGCAGAAUAAUGAAUUGAUAUAAAUUAACAUUAUAACCAGUGAAACCCUUUUUUUCACUGAAACAACAUAAUUAACAUAUUCUAUGUAAUAGUGUAACCAUAACUCUGAUACAAAAUAUUAAAUAAAUUUAUAUUGAAAUGUGCUAUUUCAUAGAAUAACAUAAAAUAAAUUAAUCAUUACUUUAAACAAUUACAUUAAUUGAGAGAAGACAUCUUUUAUGUUUUAUGUGACACCCCCAAUUCCGAGUACUUAAAUUUUCACGAAAUUUGGUGUUCACUGUCCAAAACUCAUGUAUCUAUCUACCCAUAAUAAAUGAAAAACCAUAAAUAGAUAGAAAUAUAUCCUCUCCUUGUGGAGUUACAACAUCUGAUUGUAAAUACAUCAAUCACAGGUCAUACUAACCUUAAAUCUUAAAUGCGGAAACAUAAACAAAUAAUAAGUCUUACACAACUUUAACAUAAGUCUGAAACAUAAAUACAUCUAAUAAACAACAAGUCUUCAUCAUUUGUUAACUUUUCCCUUACCUUUGCUAGUAGAAGGCUCGUCGGACCUUUCGUUCUUAACUGCAAUGUUAUUAUUACGCAAGAGUAAGCACGAUUGCCCACAAGUAUAAUAAUAUAACAAUAAAAUAAUAACAUGUAAAUGAAUCAAAGACUUCUGAAAUAAGAAAACUCGGCUUUUGAAUCAAGAAUGAAUAACAAGAAUCAAAAGAACUUUUGAGGGUCAUAAGACCUUGAACUACGUCCUAGGUUUCCAAGUGUUUAUACUUGAAACCUUUAACAGUCAUAAUAUUAUGGACUCUUCUUCUCGUACUUACGGGGAUCAGCCCUUAGUACCAUACUGUGCACAAUAUCUUAACGCUAAAGCAUAAGUAAUCCCCUAUAACAGGGUUAUUCAUCUCAGUUUAACAUUAUAGUUCGCACCAAAGGAAGUUUUGUUUGGAUAAGCUUAACAAUGAUUCUGAAUUUUUUAAACGUUCAUCAACUCUGGACUAGUUGAAUCAAUAAGGGUUCGCUAGUCUUAUAAGGUUUAACAAUAAUUGAUAUUCAAGUUGAUUAAUAAAACUCAAGAGGUAUACAAUCAAAUAAGUAUUGUAUAACAUGAAUCAUGCUUUUAAAGAAUGAUAACAUCUAAUAUGAAAUCUUGAACUUGAACAAUAAUAAACAAGAUAGAAUAAAGAACUUGCUUUAUAUAAAGAAACAAGGUUUAGAAACUUGCUCAGAUAAAGUUAGGGUUAGAGAACUUGCCUCGUGUGUAGGCUAAACGAUUACUACUCCCGUUCACCACAAGUCCUACACACAUACCAUAUGUGUUCACGACAUUCAUUAGUUACAUAAAUACUAACCUUAAAGAUUUUGUUCCCUCCUUUAACACAACUUGUUAACUUGGUUUUAAUUCUGCUCAUUACCAUCAUUUACAUAUACAGGACUUAAAUCUCAAAUCUUAAUUUUAAACAACAUCAUAUCAUCUCAUGGACAUCAUUUUUUUUAACGUGGUUUAACCAGUUACAAAACAUAAUAGUUAUAAGGUCACAAGACCUUUUCUAAUUUAUUUUUGUAAUUCUCUUAUUAUAUUGUCCAUUAGUCACAUUUUCACUUAAUUAUUUAAUAUAAACUCCACUUUAUUUAACAAAUUAUUACCCUUCUAAUUUAAUUACUUAAUUAAAUUAGAAUAUUUUCAUUCUCUCGCUAUUAUUACACUCGAAAAAAUUAUUCCAUAAUAAUUUCCAUCGAAUAUUUAUUUUAUUUCAUAAAUAUUUUAACUAAAAUAUUUAUUUUAUUUGAUAAAUCUUUUAAUAAUAAUUUCCAUCAAAUAUUUAUUUUAUUUCAUAAAUAUUUCAACUAAAAUAUUUAUUUUAUUUGAUAAAUAUUUUAAUAAUAAUUUCCAUCGAAUAUUUAUUUUAUUCCAUAAAUAUCUCAAUUAAAAUAUUCAUUUUAUUUUAUAAAUAUUUUAAUAAUAAUUUUCAUCGAAUAUUUAUUUUAUUCCAUAAAUAUUUCAACUAAAAUAUUCAUUUUAUUUGAUAAAUAUUUUAAUUAAUUAAUUAUUUUAUUUAUUUAUUUAUUUAUUCCCACCGGGGCGGGGUUACCCAGACUCAGUUUCUGCAGUUCGUGAAGAACACAUAACAAGGCCAAUUUAGGCCAAAAAUCUCACACAAGUUCAACCAUAUGUUCUCGUGAAGAACACAGAACAAGGCCAAUUUAGGCCAAAACUUCUCACAGACAAUUAAUACAAUUUCACCCAAAUGUUCUAAACUUAGCAUAAACACUUAAUGACACUUCUAGCAUGUUUUUAACACUUUAAGUCACAUAAACAACAGGAUUUAAAGCCAUAAUUUUUAUGUUCUUGCUAUUUUUCAAAGUUUCAUUAAAUUUCAUGAAAUCACAAAUCACAGAUUCGUUAUAACACCAAAUUAGUUCGUUUAAGGUUCGUUCUUUACAUUUUUAUAUGUAUAAACGUAAUCAUUCAUCAAUUUACCGAUUAAUAUGCAAUUUAAACAUAAUUUUUUGUACUUACAAGUCAUAUUCAUAUAUUUUUCUCUGUAACUAUAAAACUCCAAUUUGAACAUGAUUUCAUGGAUUAAUUACUCUAAAAUACAUAUAGAUCAUAUAUAAUUGAGUUAUACAAGUUAAUACACAUAUACAACAUCAUAGAUUUAACAAUUAGCCAUGAAAAUUCAAUUACAGAAAACUAAAAGCCAAUUUUCAUGAAAAGUUCCUAAGUAUGUAAAUUAAAGGUUUAGGUUAAGGAAUUACCCUUAGUUUCUCUGUUAAGAUUGCUAGAAAGUGGAAGAAGACUCCUCAAUUCUCCAAUUCCUUCUUCAAUUCUCUCAAACUCUCUCUUUUCUCUCUGUUUCUCAAGUUUAGGUAUUAAGAAAAUAUAUGUAAUGAAAGAAAAAGGGAACUUAUAUAUCAUGCGCAUACUGGCGUUGUCAUUGUCGGUUAAUCCCUUAGUGGGUUAACCGAUCAACUUCCCUUAGGGCCAUGUUUGGCUAGCCUCAAAAUGCUCUUUCCCACUUAAUUUAAUUAAACUCUUAUUAUAUAGUUUAAUAAUGUCACACCCAUUUAAGCAAUUAAUUAAAUAUCUUAUUUAAUUAAAUAAAAUAAAAUAGAAUAAUUCCACAUUAAAUCACAUAGUCACAUAAUUAAUUUUUCAUUUAUUAAUUAUGUCAAAUCAUUAAAUCUCUGAUUAAUUAUGAAAUUAAUUAGAAUAACAUUAUGCUUAUUAAAUAAUUCAUUUAAUCAAAUAAGCUCAAUUAAAUACAUACUUUUGAAUAAUAAAUUCUCCACAUUAAUUUAAUCAAUGUAACACAUAUAAUUAAAUUAAUCUACCACAAAUUCAUCUAUUAAUUAUUUAACCUAAUAAUUAAAUCAUCGAAAAGUAUUUAUUUAAUUUAAUAAAUAUUUAAAUUACAAAAAUCUCGUUUGUCACAUUUCACACUUCCGAUUCGCUUAAAUGUGAAAGUCUUCAAUUGCCCCUUUCAAUCUUAGAAUAGAUUUAUAGGUGCGUAUAAAUUUCUUGAGACGACAAUUGGGACUAAACCCAUACUGUUUUAUUUAUAGAAUAAGUAAUUAUCAAAAUCAUUCAUCAAGAUUAUGAAACCGUACCCUAGGGCCCAUUAUGUCAAAUUAGUAUUAGUAAUAUUAUUUAUAGGUUACAUAAUUAUCAAACCAAUAAAUAAAGUGAUUAAAUCAAUACAAUAUGUAAGCCCAAUAAUUCCAUAAAUGUAAGAACCGAGAUUUUUAUAUGAUUAUAUAUGUAAUUUUUUUACGAAUAUUUUUUUUAAGAAAGUACUUGGACCAUAUAAGUAAAUAUGUGAAUUAAGCAAGAUAGUUAAUUUAUUUUAAGUUAACUAAUGUGAAUACUUAAUCAAUUUGAUUAAGGAAAAGUAAGAUAAGUUAUGUUAAAAAUUAACAUAGUUUGAAUGUUAACCUUGAAUGGUAAAUUAAAAAGAUUUACAAAUCUUUAAGUGAUUAAUUAUUUAUAUGAAUUAUAUAAAGUGAUUAUAUGAAUGUAUAAUAAUUCAUCAGGCCAAUUAGGGCUAAUUAAUUUAAAGAAUUAUUGGAACAAAAAGGAAAGCCGGGUAAUAAGUAUUUAUUAAUGAUGAUAAAUGCGUUAUAGAAUAUGUAAUGAGUUAAUAAAUAUAUAUUAUUUAAUGUGUAUAUAUUUUUUUUAGCAUAUAAAGAAAGUUAAGAAUAAAGUUUUGUAACCUAAUAUAUAUUUUAGGAAUGCGAAUUAAAUAACCUAAGUGUUAUAAUAUGGAAUAAUGUUAUUAUUUAAAAUAUAUACUAACCUUGAGAGAUUUAUUUUAUACAUCUCAAUUAGUUAAUUUUAUAACUUAAUUAAAGCAAGGCUAAUUGGGUUAUAAAAUUUAAGAUACAUGAGUAAUUAUUUAAAUUACAAAUGAGUGAAUGAAAACCCUAAUUAAAUGAUUAGGGUAGGAUAAAAUUAAAAGUGUUGGACUUAAUCUAAUUUACAUGGCCCAAGAAAUUAUUUUGGAAGCUCAAAAGAAUUAAGGAAUUAUCCCAAACUUUAGCCCACUUGUUAAGGGAUUUUUGGACAUUUGAGUAAGAAAAAUAUUACAUUAAAAUUAAACCAAAUUGGGAUAAUAAAAUGCCCAAAUUUUGGCCUAACAAGGGAGGAGAAAAGGAGAGCAUGUGGUAUAAUGAUUCAUUUUACCAACUACCUUACUAACUCUCACCAACUCUCACAUGCGUCAACCUUUUAUUUUGCCACAAUGUUUACCAAGUUUACAAGCAAUCUUAAGAAUACAAGCAACAUGAUUAGGGAAGAGAAAAGAGAGAUAAGUUGGGAGAUAACAACUAGAUAUACCAAAUAUAUCUACACCUUUUACUAACACCCAAAAAUCAUUUCAUUUCUCUUUCAACUCAUUUUAUAACUUAGCAAAACCAAAUAGAGAGAGAAAUAGGCUAUUUUGGGCAACCCUUAAGGAAGAGAGAGAGAGAGAGAGAGAGAGAGAGAGAGAGAGAGGGUUUUUUCAAGCCAUCUAGCUUCAUAAGCAAACUUAGAAAGAAAAAGAGGAAAGAACUCAAGCAAAGGUAUACCCCUAAACUAGUUUUUGUAAUUUAUUUUGAUUAUUCUCAAUCAAAACUUGGAUCUACGAUUCUAAACUCCAAAAUCUUAGAUUUGCAUGUUAAUAAGUGCUUUAUGUUUAGAUCUAACCAUUUUGAGUGUCAAAAGUUGGAUCAAGAGAAAAUAAAUGAAAACUAGUUUUUCAAACAUUAGAAAACCCUAACUUUUUAUUACUUUAAUAGGUUAUAAAUUUAGAUCUAUAAUUUUUUUUUUGUGAUCCGUCAAAGUGGGGUGGUAGAUAUGUAAGUUAACUACUAAACCUAAGUGGUAGCACUCAAAAAUAAUGUUUUAAGUCGUGGUGACUGUUUUAGUCAAAACAGUCCAGAUUUUUGCAAAAAGGGUUUAUAAUCUUGCUGACCAGCCACUUCCAAGGGCUGUUUUGUCAUUGUUUUUUACUUUAAAAAUUCUGAGAAAACUUGGAGUGAUAAUAUGAUAAGUUAUCUGAGUCCUGUAAAAAGAUGGGAGUUUUUGGCCAUGUAGAAUGAGAGAUAUAAAUUUUACGGUAAAGAACUACUUUUACAAGUAUGCAUGAAUAAUGCUUUGUGGUAAACUCCAAAAAUUAUGAAAUAUUUACCGAAAGUAUAUGUAUAUGACAGCAACAUACCUUGAAAAUUUCAGAAUUUUCGGACAAAGUGUCGAUUUAUGAUAAAUGUAGCAAGACUUGACUGUUUUGGACUAUUUAAAUAUAGUAAAUGGAUUUAAAAAAUUGCAGGAAAAAUAUAUGUUUAUAAGGGAACUAUAUUCUGUCAAUUCCCAGAAAAUAAAUGAUUGUGUUAUGAAUAAAUGGAAAAAAUAGUUAUGUGAUGUUGAAAAUUAGGAAAAUAGAAUUUUAUGGUUUGAGAACCCUAGAUAUGCUAUAUGAAGAUUUUUGAUAAAAGUUUUGGUCAUUUGUGAUGAGAUAUUAUGUUUAUGGCAUUUUAAGAUGAUUAAAUGAAUUAAUUAGUAAAGGGAAAAUAAUUAAAAUAAUUUGUUUAUAAGUUUAAUAAAUGAUUAAAAUAUUAUUAAAAGAUUAAUAAUAUUAUAUUAAGAUAUUAAUAAUUAAUUAAUAAUAUUUAGAUUAAAGUUAAAUUAAAAUAUUAUUAAUUGACUGAGAAUAUUAGUUAAGGAUUAAAAUAUUAUUAAAUGAUUAAUAAUAUUAAGGAAUAAAAUAUUAUUAAAUGAUUAAUAAUGUUAUGGGAUGAGUAAGAUAUAAUUAAAUAAUUAAUAAUAUUAUGCGGAGAGUAAGACAUUAUUAAAUGAUUGAGAAUACUUGUGAAUGAUUAAAAUAUUAUUAAAUAAUUAAUAAUAUUAAAUGAGAGUUUAAAAUGAAUAAUAAAGAGAAGUUAAGUAUUUUAAGAAUAUAGUAUGAUUGGGCAUUCAAUAUGCUAAAAUUGGGUAUAUAUUAUGCUAAAAAGGAUAAUCCAGCUUGCUAGAUUGGUCAAUUCAGGUUGUUACCUGGAUUGGUAAAUCCAGAUUGCUACCUGGAUUGGAUAAUCCAGGUUGCUGAAUUGGAUAACCCAAGUUUUUAGAUUGGUCAGUUUGUAUAAUCCAGAUUACUGUAUUAGUAUCGACUUACUAGAUUAUAAAUAAUAACUUAUAAAAUGAAAGAAUAAGUGUUAAAUCUUAUUGUAUAUGGUUUAAUGAUUGAAAUAUUAUCAAAUGAUAAUAAUAUUACUAAAGAUUUAAGGUGUUUGAUUAUGUGAUUACAUGUUAGAUAAAUUAUUAUGGAAUAAUGGUAUAAUAAGUAAGAUAUAUGAUGCUAAUUGAUAGAUCAAUCAUAUUAAUGAUAGGUCUUUCAAAAGAAGUCAUAUUAAAUUGUGUAACAAUAAACAACGAUCAAGGCAAGUUUCUAUUCUCUUUUAUUGUGCAAGUAUCUAAACCAUACGCCCUACUUUUAUUUUGUACAAACAGGUAUAUGUUAUGCAAGUAUCCUUACUUUAUCGGAUUUCAUUUGAUUCGUUCAUUUUUUACAAGUAUCUCAUUACUGUCUUCAUAUGAUUCAUAUAUAAUAAAAAUUGUUUUAUUCUUUGUAAGCUAAGUUUGGUUAUGCAAGUGUCCUCACUCGUAUAAAUUAUUGUAUUUGAACAAAUUUUGAUACAUACUAUUGAAUUUCGGUAUGUAUACAUACUUUAAAAGUUGCCUAAGCUAUUUGACUCGGCUACACAUAGUUAUAAAUGUAUCAUUGAAUAUUAUUAUUUAUGAUAAAGUCGUCCAACUGAAUUGUUUUGUUUCGGACUCUAGACUGAGUAUGAACAUCCCAUAAUUGGGAAAUUUUUAUGCGCCAAAGGCGGUUAUGAUAAACGUGAAUAUCGUUCCAGUAUGUAGUGUUGAUUAAUACAGGGCAUAACGAGCUAAUCACCCUCUGUGCCUGUAAGUCAGCCAGUUUGCAAAUGAAUUUCUAUACAAACCUUUUGAAACUUGAAAAUAAUGGUUCAUGGCCUAUUGACGGCUCAGCAUUGUAUAGUCGUUAUGUUGUUUCAAAAAUGAAAUGUCUUGAUAUGUUGUUUAAAUUUGUUUCAAAUGGCCUCACAACUAUUGAUUCGUUGUAGAAGUAUACCUCAAAUAAAAUAUUUAUUUUUUAGCUGAUGUUUAAUAAUUGUUAUUACUUGCUGAGAAAUUAAAUGCUCAUUCUUGCUUUAAAUUAAAUAUUUUCAGCUAAGCGAGAUCGACCAGAAGGUUCUGGCAAGGAUAAGGGAAAGAAGAAGUUGCAUGAAUAAUUAUAAGGUGUUAUUUGUAAUAACUAGACUUUUGUAUAAUGAUAAUAUAAUAUUUAUCAUAUAAUAAUGUACUUAAAGGUCAUCGUACCCGGGGAUUAGAUAACUCUGAUAUAAUAUUUUUAAAUACGUAAUAUAUUUAGCAGUUUAAUAAAGGUAUCGUGUAGCACCAAGUAUGGGUUACAAGUACCCGGAUUUGGGAGGCGUCACAGGUUAGUAUCAG
This 63250-nucleotide long non-coding RNA is filed under the name Panax ginseng (ginseng). RNAcentral describes it as "long non-coding RNA (PGIN_LNC016070)". The record is from RNAcentral. Lineage: Eukaryota; Viridiplantae; Streptophyta; Magnoliopsida; Apiales; Araliaceae.